AAGACCAGAUAUUUAUGAUCAUGUUUGGUGGGUGACCGUGUCUCAAGAUUUCAACAUUAAUAGGUUGCAGAAUUUUAUUGCUACACAACUUCAUCUAAACCUUUCAAGAGAAGAUGAUGAUCUGCAUAGAGCUGUCAAAUUGUCAGAAGAACUAAAGAGAAAACAAAAAUGGAUUCUUAUUUUAGAUGAUUUGUGGAACAAUUUUGAGCUUGAGGAAGUGGGAAUUCCUGAGAAGUUGAAAGGAUGCAAGCUGAUUAUGACAACUCGAUCAAAAACGGUAUGUCAUCAGAUGGCUUGCCACCGCAAAAUCAAGGUGAAGCUACUUUCGGAGAGAGAAGCUUGGACUUUGUUCAUGGAAAAACUUGGACGUGCAAUGGCACUUUUACCAGAAGUGGAAGGAAUUGCGAAAGCUGUUGCAAGGGAAUGUGCUGGUUUGCCAUUGGGAAUUAUUGCAGUGGCAGGAAGCUUGAGGGGAGUGGAUGACCCACAUGAGUGGAGAAAUACAUUGAACAAAUUGAGAGAAUCAGAAUUUAGGGACAUAGAUAAGAAAGUAUUCAAGUUAUUGAGGUUUAGUUAUGAUCGGUUAGGUGAUUUAGCACUACAACAAUGUCUCUUGUAUUGUGCAUUAUUUCCUGAAGAUGAUGAUAUUGAAAGGAAGGAGUUGAUAGGUUAUUUGAUCGAUGAGGGAAUAAUUAAAGGAAAGAGGAGCAGGGGAGAUGCAUUUGAUGAGGGCCACACGAUGCUUAAUAGACUUGAAUAUGUCUGCCUAUUGGAAAGUGCUCAAAUGGAUUAUGAUGAUAUUAGACGUGUCAAGAUGCAUGACUUGAUUAGGGACAUGGCCAUCCAAAUACUGCAAGACGAGUCUCAAGUCAUGGUGAAAGCAGGUGCGCAAUUAAAAGAGUUGCCAGAUGCAGAGGAGUGGACAGAGAAUCUCACUAGAGUCUCACUAAUGCAAAACCAAAUUAAAGAAAUUCCUUCCAGCUAUUCACCAAGGUGUCCCUAUCUAUCAACUCUAUUGCUAUGUCAAAAUCGUUGGUUGCGAUUCAUUGCAGAUUCAUUUUUCAAGCAAUUACAUGGGCUCAAGGUCCUCAAUCUGGCUGGCACAGGUAUUCAAAAUUUGCCAGACUCUGUCUCUGAUUUGGUGAGUCUCACUGCGUUAUUGCUUAAAGGGUGUGAGAACUUACGUCAUGUUCCAUCAUUCGAGAAGCUCGGGGAACUGAAGAGGUUGGAUCUCUCUCGUACUGCGCUUGAAAAGAUGCCGCAAGGAAUGGAAUGCCUAACCAACCUGAGGUAUCUUAGAAUGAAUGGAUGUGGUGAAAAGGAGUUUCCUAGUGGGAUAUUACCAAAACUCUCUCAGCUGCAAGUUUUUGUACUAGAAGAGCUUAAGGGGAUCAGUUAUGCUCCGAUAACAGUUAAAGGAAAGGAACUAGGAUCCUUGAGAAAUUUAGAAACUUUGGAAUGUCAUUUCGAAGGUCUCCCUGACUUCGUGGAGUAUCUCAGAUCUCGAGAUGGGAUUCAAUCAUUAAGCACAUAUAAAAUUUUAGUAGGAGAGGUGCUUAGAUGUAUAGAGCAAUUGAUUGGAGAUUUUCCAAGUAAAACAGUUGGGGUGGGUAAUUUGAGUAUCCACAGAGAUGGAGAUUUUCAGGUCAAGUUCUUAAAUGGCAUUCAAGGACUGCAUUGUGAAUGCAUCGAUGCAAGAAGUUUAUGUGAUGUUUUGUCAUUAGAGAAUGCAACUGAACUGGAGCGCAUCAGAAUUGGGAAAUGCGAUAGCAUGGAGAGCUUGGUUUCAUCUUCUUGGUUAUGCUCUGCUCCACCACCUGGUAUGUUUUCUGGUCUUAAGAAGUUUUAUUGUUAUGGAUGUAACAGUAUGAAGAAGCUGUUCCCGCUUGUGCUGCUGCCAAACCUCGUAAACCUGGAAAGGAUUUAUGUUAGUGAAUGUGAGAAAAUGGAGGAGAUAAUAGGAACAACAGAUGAAGAAAGCAGCACCUCCAAUUCCAUCACGGAAGUCAUUCUCCCAAAGUUAAGAACUCUGAGAUUGGAAUGGUUACCACAACUGAAAAGCAUUUGCAGUGCAAAACUGAUUCGCAAUUCUCUUAAACAAAUUACUGUAAUGCAUUGUGAGAAGUUGAAGAGGAUGCCAAUUUGUCUUCCGUUGCUUGAAAAUGGCCAGCCAUCUCCUCCCCCUUCUCUUAAAAAAAUCAAGGCAUAUCCAAAAGAAUGGUGGGAGACAGUAGUGGAGUGGGAGCAUCCUAAUGCAAAGGAUGUCCUUCGUUCGUUAGUAAAGUUUUGGUAGGAGGAGACUCCUCUGCCCUUAAUAUAAUAUAAAAUAAUAUAGAAUAGAGGGUAAGCAUCAUCUCUCUCAAUCGAAUUGUAGCUUUCGUAUUGUUAAUCCUUUCGUUGUUAGAAUACUUCUUUGUUGCAUCAUUUAUCAAUUCUAUCCUUCUGUAAGAAUACUAAUCGAUUGUAACCUUAAAUUUGCUCAUAUUCAAUAAUAUAUCAUUCUUUCAAUCAUUUUUGUUAAAAAUCAUGUGCAAAACAUAAUUAUUUUCGAUAUGAAUGUGAAAGUAUGAAGAAGCUGUUCCGCUUGUGCUGCUGCCAAACCUCGUAAACCUGGAAAGGAUUGAAGUGAGUUGCUGUAAGAAAAUGGAGGAGAUAAUAGGAACAACAGAUGAAGAAAGCAGCACCUACAAUUCCAUCAUGGAAUUAAUACUCCCAAAGUUAAGAUCUCUGAGAUUGUAUGAAUUACCAGAACUGAAAAGCAUUUGCAGUGCAAAACUGACUUUCAAUUCUCUUAAAGAUAUUGAUGUAAUGGAUUGUGAGAAGCUGAAGAGGAUGCCAAUUUGUCUUCCGUUGCUUGAAAAUAGCCAGCCAUCUCUUCUCCCUUCUCUUAAAUACAAACGAGCAUAUCCAGUAGAAUGGUGGGAGACAGUAGUGGAGUGGGAGCAUCCUAAUACAAAGGAUGUCCUUCGUCCCUAUGUAAAGUUUGGGUAGGAGGAGACUACUCUGCCCUUAAUAUAAUAUAAUAUAGAAUAGAGGGUAUUGCUAAUCCUUUCGUAUUGCUAAUCCUUUCGUUGUUAGAAUACUUCUUUGUUGCAUCAUUUAUCAUUUCUAUCCUAAUAUAUGCAAAGGACCUUUUUGUCUCGAAAUAAUUAAUAUGUAGAAUGGUUAAUUACUCCGUUAAAUGUAAUAAUACGUAUCCUUCUUUUAUUAUAGGCUGGUUUAGAAUUCAGCUAAGACAUCUAAUAAAAUAUUUUUAUUCUUAGAAAUUUUGUGAAGAACAAUCAGAAAACUAAUUUAAUUAGGGAUUAAUUGAGUAAUUAAUUACCUUACAGAGGAUUUUCUUUUCCUUUAUUUUAUUUCUAGUAACAGCUAAUUUAAUAAAACCCCAAUAGCCUGAUUCUUGGAUCACAGAAGCUUGAGACAUGGCACAUGCUACCAGGAAAAAAGCAUGAUUUUGUUGAAAACCUUUAAGAUUGGACUGUCGCAUUCUAACAAUAAUGUUUGGACCAUUUAAAGAUUGGACCCAACUUCACUUCAACUUUAUUUUAUAUUUAUAAUAAAUAAAAAGCAUGAUUGUGUUGAAAAUCUUUUUUCUGUUUUUAUUUUUCAAUUUUUGAAAUGACUCCUCAAAAAACAAUUCCAACCAAUUAUUUGCCCUGGAAUUUGGAGGAUGUAUAAUUCCAAGUGGGCAAGCUGCAUUUCUUAGCCAGGUGGAGCAAGAAUUGAGGUUGCUUAUUUCUGGCUUUUGCUUCUCUGGGUAUGAUUUAUUGGGCUAGUUUAUAGGAUUUUUGUCCUUUCUGCUAAUUUUAUAUUAACUUUUUUAAUUUUUAAUUUAAUUAUUUUUUUUAUAUUUUCAAAUUGUUUUAAUGUUUUGAUAUUAAAAAUAAUUUUAAAAAAUAAUAAUAAAAUAUUAUUUUGAUGUAUUGCCAAAUAAAAAAUAUUUUGAAAAAUAAUUGAUACUGCACUCUCAAACACCCUUAAAUGCUCUAUUAUUAAAAUAAAAUGCUAAAAUAUGAAUAGAAAUAUUAGAAAUUAAUGUGAAUUUUUGAAUUGAAUUUCUAUUUACUUUGAUAUACUCUUGAACAGGUCUUUAUGUUUGAUUUCAGAGUUUAUAGAAGAGCAAGUCAAUGCCCAAUCAAGUUCAAAGGAGUCGUGAAAUUCACUUGAAACCAGCCUGGAUACACUUAAGUAUUUUAAUCACAACUUUCCACUCACAUAUCAUAUUCCUGUGAUUCUUGACGCGUUGGAAAGGUAUCUUACAGGGCUACAAAUUAGUCUCUAAUGAGGAUUUCGAAAGAAGAACUCCUAAAGCAUGUACGUGGCUGCCUAAGAAAUCCUAUAAUUUUGGUUUUUGAUGAAAAAGGAGGGCCUCCUUUAGAAAAAGGGGUAUUUGUUGGCAAUUGCGCCAGAGAAAAAAAGAAAAAAAAAAGAAAAAGGAGAACAGGCAAGGAAAGGAAUGGCUAAUUAAUACAGUGAUGGGUAGCCAAAUUGUUCAGAUUUCCAAUUAUUCCAACUCUCUUGUUUUAUCAUUCUCAAAGUCCAAACAACAACGGUACUGCCAAGAUUGUUAUGCCUGCAAUCAAAAUAUAAUUUAUUUUUGUACUCAGAAUUAUGUUUGAUUGCAUUUAAAAAUCUGUUUAUUUAAAAAAAAUAUUAAAUUAAUAUUUUUUUAUAUAUUAAUAUUAAAAAUAAAAAAAUAUUUUGAUGCAUUUCUUAGUUAGGGGAGCAAAAAUUGAGCUAGCUUGCUUCUGGCUUUUGAUUUUCUGGGUAUGAUUUGUUUGGCUAGUUUAUAGGACUUUUGCACUAGGGUUUUUGUCUAAUUUAUCUAUAUAUAGGAUUUAGAAUCUUGAUGAAUGAAACUAGCAUUCUCGAUUUCUUGGGAUAGAAAGAGCAGAAUUAUUAUUAAAAUUAAAAAAGAAAAAACUAAAUAAGAUAUUGAUUGGGUGGAAUUUAAUCGGUCAAUCAAACCAAUCUAGUUCAUAUCUAAUUGGAUUAUUAAAAAAAAUGAAAUGAUAUUAUUUUAAUAAAAUAAUUAAUCUGAAUUAACUUAAUAAAUAAUUCAUAAGUUAUGAUAUUAUAUUAAAAAUAUUAUCUUAAACCAAAUAAAUUAAGUAACUUAAAAAUGUUGUAAUGUAAUUUUGAUAAUUUAGUAAGGAUUUGGAGAAUAUAUAUUUAAAAACAAACUUUGUCAUAAGAUUAAGUUAUUCCAACAAUCCCAGUCAAUUAAAACCUGUUUGUUAAGGUGGUAAACCAUAACAAAAACAACCAUUUUUAUUAUUUUAUUGGCAAAAUGCAGGUAGAACAGCAGUGCAUCAUGUUGCCCAAAAAAACACAAAUUUUGAAUUUUAUUUUUAAUUAUUUUUGAAAACUGGAAAAGCAGGUAAACUGUGACUAAAAUAGGGUAUGAUAUUAUGGUAGUAAUUGUUUUUUAAAAUAUUUUUAUUUAAAAAUAUAUUAAAAUAAUAAUUUUUUUUAUUUUUAAAAUUUAUUUUUAGCAUUAACACGUGAAAAUAAUAAAAAAAUAAAUAAUAAAAAAUCAAGUUAUUUUAAAAACAUGGUUCAACUGUAUUAUUAUUAUUAUUAUUAUUAUUAUUAUUAUUAUUAUUGACAGGGGUUUGGUCGUUCCAGGGAGGGCCGGAAAAGUCACGGGAUGAAGAGUUGUUGAUAACCAUUAACUAAUAACAGGGCUAAGAUGAGUGAGGCUAAUCAAAAGCCUGUAAAAGUGUAUCAAGUGACUGUUUGCUACUAAUAUAUAUAUAUAUAUAUAUAUUUUUAGUUUAACAUGAGUGUCCGGUCAGCUUGCACGCACCUCGACUAAUCUUAUGAGCCCUGAAGUUAACGACUAUGUAAGCCUCCAGUGGCCAUCAUAUGAGCAACUACAGGGCUCGAACCUGAGACCAUAUAGGGAGCAAACUUUUUGGUCCCAAGCUUUUAUCACUAGACCACCACCUAGAUGGUUAAUAUUUUUGAAUUGUUGUGAGGUGGUAAUAUAAAAAAAAUUAAAAAUAUUAUUUUAAUAUAUUUUUAAAUAAAAAAUAUUUUUUUAAAAGAAACUUGAAAUAUGCUAUUCUUUCUCGUAUUUAUGUGUUUACAUUUUCUUGGCAGCUUUUUCAACGUUUGAACAUUGGGUGGGUCCACAGACUCCACACGUUAGCUUUCUAUAUCUUAUAAUAUAGUUUAUAGGUAUUCUAUAUCUUAUAAUAUAGUUUAUAGGAUUUAUAAUCUUGAUGAAUGAAACAAGCAUUCUCGAUUUCUUGGGAUAGAAAGAAAGUUGGAAUAACUUAUAUUUGGAUUUUUCUUAGGGUUGAAUUUCUUGCUCCAUCUGUGUUGCAUCCAAAAUUAUUAUUAUUUGUGCUUUGUGUGUGUGUGUGUGUGUGUGUGUAUUCUUUAAGUUAUGUAUAUAUAUAUAUAUAUUCUUUAAGUUAUGUAACGUCAUUGUUAUUGUAGGAACAUUACUAUUAUUUAAGUAUUAUCGAAGUCCUACACUUUGGUCCCAAUUUACUAAAUAUUGUCUCCAGACUAAUUAAACUUUAUUUACAUGUGAUCAAAUUUAUAAAAAUACUUUGUUAUAUGAUUGAUUUAUGAGUUUGAUAAAUUAACCUAAGCUGAUAUAAAUAAAUUCAAUAUAGUUUCCUUGCAAGAAUUUUGAAUUAUCUUUAAAAAAAAAUUAAAACAAUAUUGUUUAGGAAAAAUCAAUUAAUUAAUAAUAAAAUAAUAAAAUCAAUAAAAUCGAUAGUGUCAUGGGUUGAUUUUAUUAGUUUAAGUCAACAUUAAUAAAACAAAAGAUUUGAAAGUUAAUUAAUUAUUAAAUAACAUGUUAAUGGUUAGAUUACAGUUUCUUCUUUACAAAUAACCAGGGGGGAAAUUAAUAUAAAAAACAAAUUUUCAUUUUCAUUUUUUAAAUAAAUUAGGUAGGAUUUGAGUUUUUUUUAAGUAAUUAUAUCUUUAUUAGCUUAAACAAAGAUACUUAUUAAAAGGACAGAUUAGAAAAGGGAAAUUUAAGAGUAAUUAAACUUGUAAAAGCAUGUUGAAGACCAUAUCUAAAAUAUAAGGACUAAUGGAGAAAAUUCUUCAAGGAAAAAGGACUACUUUCUUAUGGGAUUGUGGGGGAGUUUCUCGGAAUUGAAAUGGUCAAGGAUGUAGAGAAGUGUCAUCAUUCCCAUCGCUGUUAUCGCCAACGAUCGGGUGUGUUUGGUUUUGAGGUGUGGUGACUUUUUGUCAAAGGUACAAUACUUUUUAAGCACAAACUACAUCUUUAAAAGCUAUAAAAACAUACUUUUUACUCAAAAAAAGCACAAGUUAUCUCAUAUUCAAACACCCUCGAAGAGUCCAAAUUAAUCCUGGCCUGUUAUGGAAAGUCGUCGGAGGGCAACUCAUUUUCCUAAAGAAUUGUUUGGCAAAGUGUGCACUUGCAUAAAGGAAUGGUUAAGGCUCUCUUGAAAAUUUAGAGGUCUAUAAUUAAAAGUAACGAGAUUAGGAUGUUUGUAGUAGUGGUUAGGUUUAAAAUGUUUUUGUUUAAAAAUAUAUGAAAAUAAUAUUUUUUUUUUAAUUUUUAAAAAAUUAUUUUUGACAUCAAUACAUCAAAAUGAUUUAAAAACAUAAAAAAAUUAAUUUUAAAUAAAAAAAUUAAAUUUUAAGGGAACGCGAUUUGCACUAUGUUUCCAAACAUGUUUUAGGUCAGAGUUGGAUUUUGCUUCACUGAUCUUCAACUCUGAAUAUUGAAAUUUAUUAUUCACUUGUAUAAUAUUAAUAAAUCUAUUUAAUAAAAAAAAUUAUUUGAACCACAUUUUGUACCCAUUCAAUUUUUUUAACACUAAAAAAUCAACAUGUAGGUGUUGUUAAAAUAUUUUUUAAUAUUGAGAAAAAAUAUAACUAUAGAUAAAAAAAUCAAUACUUGUAUACAAUAAAAUACAACGAGGAUUAUUGCCUGUCAUUCACUAUGAUCUAGGUCAUGAGAUCAUAAUAAUCUUGUAAAAAACAAAUCAAAACAAAUUAAUCAUACAAAACAAACACGAAACAUAUGAUGGAGAUCAAUCUAAAAUAAACCAAAUGCUUUAAAAAACAUUAAAAAUGAAUUUUUAUUUUAAAAAAAUGUAAACGACAACAUAAUAAAUAGACAUGAGCUUUGUGGCUAAACCCACCAAACCUGUGACUUUGUAAAAAGCAAAUUAGAACAAAUUAAUCGUACAAAACAAACACGAAACAUACGAUGGAGAUCAAUCUAAAAUAAACCAAAUGCUUUAAAAAACAUUAAAAAUGAUUUAUUUUAAAAAAUAUGUAAACGACAACAUAAUAGAUCGACAUGAGCUUUGUGGCUAAACUCAUCAAACCUGCAACUUUGUAAAAAGCAAAUCAGAAUAAAUUAAUCAUACAAAACAAACACGAAACAUAUCAUGGAGAUCAAUCUAAAAUAAACCAUAUGCUUUAAAAAACAUUAAAAAUUAAUUUUUUUAAUAUGUAAACGACAACAUAAUAGAUCGACAUGAGCUUUGUGGCUAUACCUACCAAACCUGCAACUUGAAUCAUGGACUUCAUUGGGUUUAAUAACAAUGUUAUUUUAAUUUUUUUUCUCUAAACAUAUAAUAAAAACUUUGAAAAAAAAGAAAAAUUAAGUGAAUUUUUUAUAGAAAGACCAAGCCUAAGAAGCCUAACAAGAAUGAGCCAUUAAAAAACCAAGCCCAAACACGCGAGCCACUCAUCCCAGGCCCGUGCACCCGGGCCUCUUUAUUUUUUCAAAAUAUGUAAGGGGAAGACCCCUUUUUUUGAAAAGAAAUUAAAUCUGUUGACAACUACUAUCAAGCUUCUCUCAUUGAACGAAUCUCGUUGACACCAAGUUCAAUCUUUUACGUGGCUAGAAUAGGUGUCAAUCUUGAUUUUUUCUUUCUUAAGCCGGAAUCUAGUGGCUCCCUCUCUCUCUUAAAUGCAUAAUCAAGAAAAUAGAAGGACCAAAGUCAACUUUUUUCACCAUCCAUUCUCUCUGUUUUUUUCACUAUCUUUUGAUUUUAUACUCGAUUACCAAUUUUACUUAAAUUGAUACUCAAUUUAAUUGAGAAAGGGCGGAAUUUAAAACAACCUAAGUAUUGGAACGGAAAAAAAAAACAAUUAGCUCAUGAUGUUGGAUUUUAAAAGAAAAUUCCGAUUCCGAAAAUUCCGAAUCCGAGAUACUUUGAAAGAGAGGAAAAUAAUUGAUGUUCGGAGCUUUAAAGUGUAUGCCAUGUAAAAUUAUAUAACAGAUCAUUUUUCAGUAGGUUCUAAGUUUCAUUCCAGUGCAUGUCAAGCAGAUUAUGUUGUGCAUAGUUUUAUAUAGAAGGGUUCAGUUGUUUUGUUUUAUACAUCUGGUUGGUUUGUGGUCGCUUGCUGCACCCUUUCCCCUUUGGAAAAUGGAAGCAGAAACUUUCAGCAUUCGGGGGCCACAGAGUUUAGCUACUAGCUAGCUAACUUUAAUUCCGUUUCCGACAUGAUUAAAGUUAUGGAACAUGAUCCAUCAUCACCUCAUUCGUUUGUUAGGUUGGAAUCCUUAAACUGUUUUUGCCACAGUUCUUCGACUAGGUUCAGGAAUUCAUUUUACCAAAAAGGGAUAGAUUUUUGUAUCAUUCGUGGAUAUAUAGUAAAAAUUCCUUUUGAUGUUAAGAACAUCAUCGUAACAAAAACCUUAACUAGUAGGAAAAACACACAGCAAAUACAACUCGACUCAAAAAUUCAUCAAUCAUGAUGUUACCAUGUCAUAAUUAAUUUGAGAUAAAUAAUAUGUAUGGACUUUACAAAUAGGUAUUAUCAUCUACAAUACUAUAAUUCUCAUUAGCAAUUUUUUUUGUACAUAUUCAAGGCUUUCUACUAGAAUUCUUAUUAGGAAAAACUUGUCUAGAUAUUCAAGGUAGUUGUGGUUUUAUUUCAAUGGAGUUAAUAUCAUUACAAAAGUAAUUAGUAUGUUUGGCAUUAAAACAUAUUUUUUGGCAGUAAUUAUUCCAAAAAAUACCAUUAAUUUCCCAAAAAAACCGCUCAUGCGCAAGAAAAGCUAAUGAUAAGAUACUGAACAUCAUGAAUAUUUUUAGCAUUAGGGUAGCCAUUCCACCCAUUUUAUCAAGAUAAACAAGAUGUAUUCCAUCAUAACUUGUUCCUGACAAGACAAAAAGUGUAGUGGCAAUAAAUCUAUGAGAUAUUAUUUAUAAAAUGGCCUCGUUGAGUCCCAUAUCGCUUAUAGAGUAAAUUCUUAUAAUUGUAAAACUCAUAUGAGAUAUAGAAGAAUAGACUAUUCCUUUUUUUAAAAAAAAAUUAUCAGAAGAUGGUUAAGCUGCAUGGAUUAUUUGUAUUGCGCCUACUAUUAUCAACCAAGAAGAAAAUAUAGAAUGGGCGUCGGAUAAUAAUUUCAUAUUUAUUUGAACCAAUCCAUAUGCUCCCAUUUUAAAUAAGAUUCCAGCUAAAAGCAUACAAGUAUUGUAAUGUGCUUCUCCAUGGAUGUCUGAUAACCAUGUGUGUAUAUGUAAGGGUAUAAUCGGUGAUUGAUUAACUGAUAUUUCAAAAUUGAUUGUUGGUUUAUUGGAAGCAUUGAAAGUGAUACCUAAGGCCCCCAUUAAUAAAAAAACAGAAUUUCCUGCAAUAUACAAAAUAAAUUUUGUAGUUAAAUGCAUAAGACAUUAAAAAGAGUUCUAGUAAAAAUAAAAAAAUUAAUCCAUUUAUAAGACUCUGUCAAUUGGAUUAAGGGAUCGUCCUAUUGAAAAUAAUAAGAGAAUGCAUAGGUCAUUAGUACACAUAUAAAUAUACCACUAAAUUACCUUAUUUCCUCUAAGUGGGAAAACAAAAAUCAAGAAAUAUGUGGAUAUCGGUAAACCUACAAAUAUUGUUAACCAAAGAAAAUAAUUUGUGGUAAAGACAAGAUACACUUGACAAGAAAAACUCGUACUAAAAACCCUAAUUUAUUUUUUAUUUUUAUUUUCAAGUACGGGUUUUUGUCGGUAAACAAAAUAUCAAAUGUAUUCAAGUGAUUUUUUCUGGAAAGUAUUAAUAAAAUAGACCUAUGCUUUGAGUUUUUUCAUGCCAUAGAUAAACUCGAAUACUUAAGAAAUUUAUUGGACAGGCGGAUUCACAUCUCUUAUAGCCAACACAGUCUUCUGUUCUUGGAGCAGAAGUAAUUUGCUUAGCUAUACACCCGUCCCCAGGUAUCAUUUCUAAUACAUCCAUGGGGCAGGCCUGGACACAUUGAAUACACCUUAUACAUGUAUCAUAGAUUUUUACUGAAUGUGACAUUGGAACUAUAAUUUCUUUUUAACAUCAUAAUUUUUUGAUUUAGUAAAUUUUUAAAUAAAUCAUAUAUUUAAACACCAAAUAAAUCAAUGAUUUUUAUAAUUUUUCUAUUCAAUUUCGGAUAAACUCAUGAGAUAGAAUCAAGAUACUUUAAUUUCUUAUGUUUUUGUAAACAUUAUCAAAUAUGCUAUGUAUUAUAGAUGUGAAUUCAAAUUAAUUAAUCUAAAUAUUUUAUAUGAUUAAUACUACUUAUUCAACAAAUUCAAUUAAUUGAUACAGAUUGAUUUUCUGUUACGAUAAAUUGACAAAACUAUAGCCAGUCCAAUAGCUAUUUCAGCAGCUGCAAUAAAUAUAACAAAAAUUGAUAAAAUAUUUCCUUUUAAUUGUCGACUAUCAAAAAAAAUUAGAAAAUAAUUCCUCUUUCUUGUGUUAGGUUGGAGUCCUUAAACUGUUUUUGCCACGGUUUUUCGACUAGGUUCUGGAAUUCAUUUUUAAAAAAAGUAUAGAUUUUUGUAUAAUUGGUGGAUAUAUAGUAAAAAUUCCAAGUGGAUUUAAACUGUUUUUGAAAUGGUUCUUCGAAAAACAACUCAAACCAAUUAAUUAUUUACCCUGGAAUUUGGAUGAUUUAUAAUUCCAGGUGGGCAUGCUGCAUUUCUUAGCCAGGUGGAGCAAAAAUUGAGCUAGCUUGUCUCUGGCUUUUGCUUCUCUGGGUAUGAUUUGUUGGGCUAGUUUAUAGGCCUUUUGCACUAGGGUUGCAGUCCUUCUUUCUAAUUUAUCAAAUAUGGGCUUUAGAAUCUUGUUUAACGAAAUUAGCGUUCUUGAUUUCUUGGGGUAGAAAGAACAGAACUAUUUUUAAAAUUAAAAUUAAAAAAAUAAAUAAAUAUGCUCAGACUUCUAAUCAUGUAUCAAGAGAGAAAAUUAGUGUUUUAUCUCAGUUAUUUCAAAGCCUUAGAUGCAUUUUUUAAUUUCAGUCAUUGAUUGUUUUGUUUUCAAUUUUAUCUUCAUAGAUUGUGCUGACUGCUAUGGAGUUUUAACUCUGAUGCAGCAAUUUGCUGUGUUGAACUGAGUUCUGUAUUUCCCAAUUAGCAGCGUGCAAUAAACAGUAUUUAGCUUUUUCACUAAUGAGAGGCACACCAAGAUAUAAACCCAACUGGAACUUACAGAUGCUCUAUAAUUUCUAAGCCAUAUCCAUGUCAUAGAGGCAAAUAAGCACUCACACUUUGCAGGAUUAUGCCAUACAAUAACCACAUACGCCUUUUGUUUUAAAUAAAAAUUUAUGCUCGCAAGAACGUUGCUGACAUCUCGAAUCUGUACCCAUAACAAAGCGUGGGAAACGAAACUAGUUGUAAAACCAAAACGAAUAGGACGCUCUGCUCAGGAAUCAUUAUUGAAAUGCUAACUAGGAAAAGCAGUUUUUGAACCUUUCUAGGAGCGAUCAAACUUGUGUUUCUGCCUGAUCUCUCAAGCUCAAGGUGUGAACCAAGUAGGUAUUCAUAAGUAAAAUUUCUUAAGUUGUAUAUAAAACGGUAGUUUCAGGAUCCCUAAGCACUAUUUUUAUUGCUAAUGCUGUGCUUCGUUAAAUUUUUAGGGAAUGGAAGUUGGAGUGGAUCAGAUAAUGAUGGUCAAUACUUUGUUUCAGUACCACUUACAGCUCUUGAAGCUAAGCUUCAGGCUCUUACAUUUUCAGGUCAGCUUUUUCAAAGUUUCAACAAUGGAGUGGGCCCAUACGUUAACUCAGUCAGAAAUUAGCUUAUAAUAUAAUCUUUGGUAGGUAAAGUUUGUGGCUUCCUUCGUAGCAACUUCCUUCUUGUCAAACAAUACAAUAAUCUUUGAUACUGUAACAUUCUCUUCCAAAUCUCAUCUCAUUAUCCCAUUGAUAUCCCAAUUUCCCUCAUCAAAUUUCUUAAACCUUUCUGAUGAUCAGUGCUUCCUUUUCUGGUUGAAUCGAAUCAUCUGGAUCUAAACAUCUUGCAACUUCCUUGUUAUAUUUAAACCAUAUAUUCUUCUCUGUUCUUGUUUUUCUUCCUCAAUACUACUUGAGCAAACCAGCACUUGAAGAACAACUUGAAUCCAGGUAGAUUAUUUAUACUCCAUCUUCUUGAUUUUGUUUUUCACGUGUAACUCUGGUUUGAAUCUUUCAUGUAAAACACAAGUUGUAGAAAUUCUAAUGAGAAGCUUUGGAGUUAGGAUCAUCAACAGUUUCCAAAAAUAAAUAAUUUGAUCUUUCUCAGUUGUAACAAUCCAUGCCUUAAGGAGUUCAUACUAAAUUGACCCCAAUAUAACCUUGAAUUCAUUGUUUUUUCUUCUUAGUUUCUUUGCUGUUUGUAACUUAUUAUUUUAGUUUCAACCUUCCUUUUCCAAUUAAUGUACUUCCAUUAAUUUUUAUUCAAUAUUUUGACCCUUUUUAUCUAUAGGACAAAAUGGGUAGAUCAGAUGAUCCGUUUUGGAAGGAAGUUGAAGAUAUGAAUGAUGGAAGCAUGAAGUGCAAGUUUUGUGGGCAUUUAUUUGCCAAUGGCACUUCCAUUUCGAGGAUCAAAUGGCAUUUAUCAGGAGAGAGAGGGCAUGGUGUUGGCAUUUGUGGUCAAGUGCCUGAAGAAGUUCAAGAAGCAGCCUUUCUAGCUAUGCAUGUUGGCAACAAAAGACAUAAAAGCAUAGCAAGUUCAAGCAAUGUUGACAUUUCCACCUGUCCACAAGAACAAGACAAUGCAGUACUUGGUAAUUUGGCACAAGGUGUUGGGCCUGAGAGAAUUCAUUCGCGUUUAGAAGCGGCAAGUGGCAUGGAAUACACUGGUGAAGGAUCUUUUCAUCAUGUUGACAGAAGUGUCUCUCCUUGGAGACUCAGAGUUGAUGCUCAUAAGAAUAGAGGAGAAGCAACACCAGUAACAGAUUUAGUGGAUCAAUUUGCUGAUGGUACUUGGGUUCAGAUACACUCUGCCCUUUCAAAGGAGCAGAAGCUGAAUGCAAUCUCUACCUAUUUAAUGCUGGAAGAGGACGAUGUGGAGCGUCUGCGUGAUGGAUUUGAAACUAUACCGAGAACAGAACAAAUGCAGCAUCUGGAGAGAGUUAUCUCUUGUGAAAGGCCAUCAAUUAAUCAAGCUGAUGAGCCUCGAGGAGAUUCAUCCCAACCAACAGAUCCAUUGUGUCUUGACCAUGGAAGAUAUUAUCAUCAACUCUGUUCACCUUCACUAAGCAAAGAUGUCUUUAUGUAUGAUGUGCAGAACAUGGUUAGAGUGAGGACAGAACCAGUAGAGGAGGAGGGUGUGGAGAAUAGUGGAAGAUUAGUGCAGCAUGGCGCAGGAGCUAGAUCUUCUAGAUGUCUUAAAUACAACACAAGUGAGACUAGAGGAGUUCCAUUACCUACUAGCUCUAAAAAGCUAGUGGGUCGAGCAUUUGAAGAGAAUACGAAGGUGAUAUGGUCUUUGUUAAUGGAUGAUGAAGUCUCAAUCAUUGGCAUUUACGGGAUGGGGGGAGUUGGUAAAACAACAAUACUGCAACACAUCCAUAAUGAGCUUCUACGAAGACUGGACAUUUGUGAUAAUGUUUGGUGGGUGACUGUGUCUCAAGAUUUCAGCAUUAAUACAUUGCAGAAUCGUAUUACUAAAUGUCUUGAUCUAGAAUUUUCAAGGGAAGUUGAUGAUUUGCAUAGAGCUGCCAACUUGUCAGAAGAACUAAAGACGAAACAAAAAUGGAUUCUUAUUUUAGAUGAUUUGUGGAACAAUUUUGAACUUGACAAAGUGGGAAUUCCUGUCCCGUUGAAAGGAUGCAAGCUGAUUAUGACAACUCGAUCAGAAACAGUUUGUCAUCAGAUGGCUUGCCACCACAAAAUCAAGGUGAAGCCACUUUCCGAGGGAGAAGGUUGGACUUUGUUCAUGGAAAAACUUGGAGGUGGCAUAACACUUUCACCAGAAGUGGAAGGAAUUGCGAAAGCUGUUGCAAGGGAAUGUGCUGGUUUGCCUUUGGGAAUUAUUAUAAUGGCAAGAAGCUUGAGGGGAGUGAAUGACCUACAUGAGUGGAGAAAUACAUUGAAGAAAUUGAGAGCAUCAGAAUUUAGGGACACAGAAGUAUUCAAGUUAUUGAGGUUUAGUUAUGAUUGGUUAGGUGAUUUAGCACUACAACAAUGUCUCUUGUACUGUGCAUUAUUUCCUGAAGAUUAUAUGAUUGAAAGGGAGGAGUUGAUAGAUUAUUUGAUCGACGAGGGAAUAAUUAAAGGAAAGAGAAGAAGGGAAGAUGCAUUUGAUGAGGGCCACGCGAUGCUUAAUAGACUUGAAUAUGUCUGCCUAUUGGAAAGUGCUCAAAUGGAUUAUGAUGAUAGUAGACGUGUCAAGAUGCAUGACUUGAUUAGGGACAUGGCCAUCCAAAUACUGCUAGAGAACUCUCAAUACAUGGUUAAAGCAGGUGCACAAUUAAAAGAGUUGCCAGAUGUAGAGGAGUGGACGGAGAAUCUGACGAGAGUUUCACUAAUGCAAAACGAGAUCGAAGAAAUUCCUUCCAGCCAUUCACCAAUGUGUCCAAAUCUGUCCACUCUAUUUCUAUGUGAUAAUAAAGGGCUGGGAUUUGUUGCGGAUUCAUUUUUCAAGCAAUUGCAUAGGCUCAUGGUCCUUGAUCUGUCUCGCACAGGUAUUAAAAAUUUGCCAGACUCUGUUUCUGAUUUGGUGAGUCUCACUGCAUUAUUGCUCAAUUAUUGUGAGAACUUAAGACAUGUUCCAUCAUUAAAAAAGCUCAAGGCACUGAAGAGGUUGGAUCUCUCUCAUACUACGCUUGAAAAGAUGCCGCAAGGAAUGGAAUGCCUAACCAACCUAGGGUAUCUUAGAAUGAAUGGAUGUGGUGAAAAGGAGUUUCCUAGUGGGAUAUUACCAAAACUCUCUCACCUGCAAGUCUUUGUACUAGACGAAUAUUAUCGUCCGAUAACAGUUAAAGUAAAGGAAGUUGUAUCCUUGAGAAAUUUGGAAACUUUGGAAUGCCAUUUCGAAGGUCUCUCUGACUUCGUGGAGUAUCUCGGAUCUCGGGAUAAGACCCAAUCAUUAAGCACAUACAGAAUUUUAGUAGGAAUGGUGGAUGAAGAUUUUUGGCAAUACAGUGAUUAUUCUCCAAGUAAAACAGUUGGGUUGGGUAAUUUGAGUAUCAACAGAGAUAGAGAUUUUCAAGUCAAGUUCUUAAAUGACAUUCAAGAACUGGUUUGUGAAAGCAUCGAUGCAAGAAGUUUAUGUGAUGUUCUGUCAUUAGAGAAUGCACCUGAAUUGGUGGUUAUCCAAAUUUACGAUUGCGAUAGCAUGGAGAGCUUGGUUUCAUCUUCUUGGUUCUGCUCUGCUCCACCACCAUUGCCAUCAUAUUAUGGUAUGUUUUCUGGUCUUAAAGAGUUUUAUUGUAGUGGAUGUAAGAGUAUGAAGAAGCUGUUCCCGCUUGUGCUGCUGCCAAACCUCGUAAACCUGGAAAGGAUUGAAGUGAUGCUCUGUAAGAAAAUGGAGGAGAUAAUAGGAACAACAGAUGAAGAAAGCACCACCUCCAAUUCCAUCACGGGAUUCAUUCUCCCAAAGUUAAGAACUCUGAGACUGAGAUAUUUACCAGAACUUAAAAGCAUUUGUAGUGCAAAACUGAUUUGCAAUUCUCUUGAAGAUAUUACUGUAACGUUUUCUAAGAAGCUGAAGAGGAUGCCAAUUUGUCUUCCGUUGCUUGAAAAUGACAAGCCAUCUCCUCCCCUUUCUCUAAGAAUAAUGUAUAUAGAACCAAAAGAAUGGUGGGAGACAGUAGUGGAGUGGGAGCAUCCUAACGCAAAGGAUGUCCUUCGUCCCUUUGUAAAGUUUGGGUUAGUUUGAGGAGCCAUCUCAUCCUUUCGUUAAUCCUUUCGUUGUAAGAAUACUAAUUGAUUGUAACCUUAAAUUUGCUCGUAUUCAAUAAUAUUCAAUUCUUUCAAUCAUUUUUGAUAUGAUUGAUGAAAAUAGUCCUUUAAAUCAACAAGGAUAUUCUUAUUAGUUAAUAUUGAAAUAAUCCUUCGUCCCUUUGUACCUUUCUUUUAACUCGAUAGAUAAAUAAUUAUAAUUUGAAGUUUGAUUAAUAUUAUAUUUUCAUCCUAUUGAGUUUCUCCAAGAUGAAAAUCCAAAAAAUAAUAAAAUACUAUAUUGAUUUAUCAUUAAAGUAACCUAAUAAAAUAAUAGAUAUAUUCACUAUUAUAAAUCAUCUCAUAUCAUUAACUAGCAAUAAAUUAUUUAAAAAUAUAUAUAAUACAGAUUAAAAAUAAAAAUAAAAAAGAGAGAACACAUUCUUGAAUUUUCGUCAAUCCAAACAAACAUCGUAAACAUGUCAAAAGUAAUCUUCUACCUCAGUGAAUUUCAGUACAACUACUGCACACAAGAUGUACGUAGCACUCUUCCCCUUUCCAACCUUGCUUAAUUCAUCAAAAGCUAAUUCCUGUCUAUCAACUCGAUUUGGAAAAAUAACUGAAAAACUCUGUUCAAUGAGUUCUAUGAAGUAGUAGAACGUGUAUGCACUAAGGAGAUCAAAUGAGGAAGGCUAAGAUUCUCUAUUAAAUGCCUCUGAGAGAGCAUGAACUGAACUGAACAUUUAUUUUUUGGAUGAGUUUUGGUUUCUAAACCUGAAACUGCCAUCAUAAGCACUAGCCAGGGAAGUUAGGAUGAGCUUUUCUUGUCAUUAUAUCAUAUUUUUCUGCCAGGAUAAUGCUCUCUAUAUUCUCUGCUACUAUUGCUUAUAAUCUUGUUGCCUGUGGUAUCUUUUCCAACUUGUUUGAGGAAUGCUUUCUAAUUCUGUUUCUUGGAUUGUAAAUUUGUUGUCCACCUGCACAGUUAAACAGAGUUAACCUAGUAAUCCAGAAGUUAUUGGUGACAGAUGAUCUGGAUCCUUUUCGAGAAAAAGUGAGUUCAACUUUUACAUUUUUUUUACAUUAUUUUGUUGCUCUAAAUCAAGAAGUUUACUAGACUUAUUACUCUGUAAAUUUGCUUUCUGAGUGCUGAGCAUUUUAUACGACCAUGUGAUUGGGGAGAUUUGAUUCUCAUAUAAUUAUUGUCAGCUUAUUUGUGAGCCAAUAAGUAUUAUUGAAUAGAAAUGCUUUCAUUCUUUACCGUUAGUUUGAAAGUGAAUUGAACAUUUAUUAGCUGAGUUUUUUUCAUUUUCAAGAGGCCGUUUGUUUGUGUGCUUGCUUUUGCGUUUGAAGCAGCCACAACAAAACAAAUGUUUAGUUAUGUAAAAAAAACAAUUUAUUUUUGGUGGGCCCUAUGACAAUGCACGUUUGCAACACGAUUUUGGCGAAGUAGCUCCUGACUGCUUUUCUUCACUCCGUGUUUCAGUGAAUUGCACUGUUCACUUAAAACAAUGAACAGUUCAAUUCACUUGCACUAUUCAUGUGAACAUUUUUUUUUCAGUAUAUUUAUUUUUUGUACAUUAAAAAAAAACUAGUUUAGAGUGAAUUAAAUUCACUCGCACUGUCAUGUGAACAAUAUAUUUUUUUUCAAAAAAGUAGUGUAGAGUGAAUUAAAUUCACUCACACUGUAAUAUCAAAUUAAUUUUAUUCCUGAUAAUAUUUUAUCUAAUUUUAUUGCACGCUCAAAAAAUUAUGAAAACUGUAGUUCUAGUCGGAUGAAUUUUGUACGUAAUGGAAUUGUAGAUGGUUUAAUGGAAUAAUAAAAAAUAUUUUAUAUAAAGUAUUAUUUAUUUCAUGAUAUAAUAGCAAUAGUUAAAUCUACAAUAUUUAAAUUAAAAACCAUCAAUAUUAAUAUAUAUUUUUUAAAAUUAUUUUAUAACCUUAAUUUCAAAAGCAUUGUUAACCAAACACGUUAAACUACUUUUUGUUUAACCUCAAUUUCAACCACAGUUUUAACCAAACACCUAUUUUUUCAAACCAACCUCAACUAAAAGUACUUUUUAUAAAAUAAUUUUUUUCAAACCACAAUCACAACAGCUACCGCAUUACCAAACACACUCUUAAUUUACGAAGCAUUUCAUUAUUCUUUUUCUGACUUUAUUAAAUUUUUUCAAGAUAAUUUAUCAGAUAAUUUUAGCCGGAGUCCUUACAUAUGUAUGCAGGUUAGAAUUCAUUCCCAUCAAUAAGAUGGAGUAGUAUGAACAAUUUUUAUUUUUUUUGGUUUCUACUUACGAUUUUUUUCAUGAUUAAUACCGAUUUAUUUUCACUUUCUAGUAUACCAUUGUUAUUAGUUUGUGGUGUGGCAUAUAAUUUUUUUAGAUCAGUGUUACUUCAAUGGUGGUGGCGUUUAAGUAUACCUUCUGCCAUAAUAUUUAAUAGCAAUUUCUAUGAUAAUCUCAGAAUCUCCAAGCUAGCUUUUGCACCCUUCUCAUUUUGAUAAUACCUAGCUUUUAAGAUUUUUAUUUUAUUUUUGACAUCAAAAGGAUCCUAAAUUCAAAAUGGUUGUGAGCAUUUUACCAAUCUGUUGGGGGUGAUAUUGGUGGGCUUGGGCUAGGAGAAGGGUUAUUUUUACUCUUGGGCUAUUGGCGAGGCUUGAGACUGCUACCUUUUCUUUUCGUUCCCGCGCUGCCCCUCCCUCUCCAAAAAGUCGCUCAAAAUACAGAUUACGAAAUCUCAGAUAUUGCUUGGAAUUGAAUGCAUGAGUUGAAACCGUCGGAGAACACCAGGAUAAGCUCCAAACACAUCGCCACCGGCAUGCUCUCCAGCAUAAUUCACGUUCCCUUUUCAACCAUCGAACACCCCACAGCCUCCUCCUCCUGUUCUUGUCGAGAAAGUAUAUGGAGCCUUAACAAAUAAAGGUUCUCUCUGUUGAUAAUUGGGUUUGGGUCUCAAGUGUUUGUGAGAGUACAAGAACUUGGAUGUUAAAAAAUUGGUCGUGAUUACUUCUCAGGAGUUCUGGUAGUAAUAGAUCAAACUUAUACCUUAUUCAGAUAAAUUGCUAAAGAUCGUAGCAUGAUUAGUUAAGAGGAAGACAAUUUUAGCCAUUUCGUCGACAAUCACGGGGAAGGCUUUGCCAAAUACUUCAUUUCAUGGAUUCUGAGUUUCAGCGGCGGAAGCAAGGGGAAGCCAGCAGGACCGGGCCCUUGCAAAACUUUUUUUUAAAAACAAAUAUAACAAAUAAUAGACUUUUUAAUAUUAAAUUAUUAUUUUAUUAGUUAUGUUUGACUUUAAAACUAUAUCUCCUUGUAUCUUUAUAUAAGUGGAAAACAAAAAGACAAAUAAGCUUUUCAAUUUAAUUCCCUUUCUUUAAUCUCUCUCUCUUUCUUUUCUGCAACUUUAACAAAAAAAAUUAAUAAUACAAGGCAUAAAGGUUCAAGCAAAAUUGCCAAUUAAUUCUUCAUCAAAAUAAGGCAAUUAGUUUUUUAAUGUUUGUUAAGAAUUUGAUAUAUAUAUAUAUAUAUAAUUCUGCUAUUUUUGUUUUUCAAAUCUACUAGUUUUAUCAUUUUUUAUUUCUUGUUAUAGUGAAUGUUGUUUUUUCUAAUUAAUUGGAUAUAUUUUAUGAGUUUGUUUUGAUUAUGUUUGGAUUUUUUUAUUUUUUUUUUUUAGCAGAUCCAUCAAAAUUAUUAAUUUUUUCUCACGUGUACCUUACUAUCACCAGGUCCAAUAUACAAUUAGACAUGAUCUUUGUAGCCAAAUUGAAUUCUUUGAAGAGCACAUACCCAACUUUGAUUCAGUGUAAGUUUUCUUUUUUAGGAACUAGUAAUCCCAUUUUUUAUGUUAGAUAUGCUUUUAUAUAUCAAUUUCUUUUUUUAAUAUGUUAAUUUUGCUUUCAUAUGUCUGUGUGGUUUACAUGUAAAAAAAAAAUUUUGGUUUUGAUUAUUGCUUCAACACAUCAUUAUUUGUAUUUAUUUUUUAAAUAGGAAACAAUAAAAAUUUGUGAUGUUUUGAUUUUAGGUUGAACCAUGAACAAAAUAAGAAGAAUUGAUUCAUUUUUUGAGAAAAAAGAGAAAAAUAUUGAUAACUCACAACCUAGUAAAUCAACUUCAAUGUGUAAUGUUGAAGUUAUGGUUCAACAACCCCAAUGUGCUUCAGUUUAUGAAGAACCUGCAUUGAUUAAUGAGCAGCCUCCUACUAAAAUCGACAUUGCUCAUCUAAUCAGAGAUCCAAGCAAUCGUCCUCAAAUUUAAGAAUACCCGGUUAAUCAACAAGAUGAAAUUAGAAGGGCAUACAUUAAUUUAGGGCCAUAUCAACCUUUGAUUUCUGAAUAUCCGCUGACUGGUAAAAAAACAUCCUCGUCGAUUUCAGUCUCAUUAAUUGGUUCAAAAGUUAUCCAUGGCUUGAAUAUUCAGAGAAAAAUACUGCAUUUUGUUUCCCUUGUUAUCUAUUUUCAAGUAAGUCAUCUGGAAAGCCAGGAUCAGACACAUUUACUGUUAAAGGAUUCAAUUGUUGGAAGAAAGUUAAUGAUGAGGAACGGUGUGCUUUUUUAACUCAUAUGGAAAAAGGUCCGAAUUCAGCUCAUAGAUUUGCUACCAGGUGCUUGAAAAAUUUGAAAAAUCAAUCAUGUCAUAUUGAGAAAGUAGUUAAGAGGCAAACUACUCAAGAAAUUCUAAAUAAUUGUUUGCGUAUUAAAGCUUCAAUAGAUAUUGUUCGUUGGCUCACAUUUCAAGCAUGUGCUUUUAGAGGACAUGAUGAACGUUCAGAAUAAAAAAACCUAGGUAAUUUUCUUAAAAUGUUGGAACUUUUAGCAUCAUACAAUGAACAAGUAGGUGCUCUUAUUUUGGAUAAUGCUCCACAAAAUGCUAAAUACACCUCGCUUCAAAUUCAAAAAGAAAUUUUGCAUGUCUUUGCUAGAAAUGUUCAGUCUUCAAUUCGUCAUGAGAUUGGUGAUGCAAGAUUUUGCUUAAUUGUUGAUGAAGCUCGAGAUGAAUCCAGAAGAGAGCAAAUGACCCUUGUUAUUAGGUUUGUUGAUAGAAUUGGAUUUAUACGAGAAUGAUUUUUGGAUAUAGUUCAUGUCAAAGAUAUGACUGCUUCAACUCUUAAUAAAGAGAUUUUCUUUGUUUUAUCUCAUCACAAUCUUGAUGUUCAAAAUAUUAGGGGUCAAGGGUAUGAUGGUGCUAGUAAUAUGCUUGGAGAGUGGAAUGGAUUGCAAGCUUUAUUCAUUAAUGAUUGCCCUUAUGCAUGUUAUAUACAUUGCUUAGCUCAUCAAUUACAAUUGGCUUUUAUUGCUGCAGUUAGAGAAAUAUCUGAUGUUUACAUUUUCUUUCAGAACUUGAUUUUUAUUGUUAACAUUGUUAGUACUGCUUGCAAACGUAAUUACGAGCUUUUCAAGCAGCUACAAUUGAACAUUUAAUUGAUAUUGGUGAAAUUAAAACGGGUAAAUGAGUUAAUCAAAUAGGUGGUUUGCAACGACCUGGAGAUAGAAGAUGAAGUUAAAUUAAUUUGCAGUUUGACAAAAAUAUAUGGGGCAACUUGCUUGGUUCUUGAAAACUAGUGAGUUUUUAGCUAUCAAAUGGCUUUCAAAACAGUUUUCUAAAUUUUACAUUCUAUUUGUGUACUCUAAUUCGUCUCCAAUAUCUCUUAUCAAAUGGGUUCUGAUUUAGAUGGUAUGAGCGAGACUUUUGGCAUACAAAAGCUGGGAGUUCCUGUCCAAGUUAAGGGAUGCAAGCUGAUUCUUACAACCCGAUCAGAAAAGAUUUGUCUAUGGAUGAAGUUUCCUAUUUACUUUGCAACAACCCUUAGCAUUGACGGGGGAGGAGUGAGAGGCAUCAUUCCUAGAUUAGUCCUUGCCGCUCUUGAAUCUAAGCUCUAGCUAGGUUCUUGAAUAAAAAACUUUAGAGUUACGCUCAUGUAACAUCGAUCAGACAAAAUACAAUAAUUAAUUAUUGUUGAAAAGCAACUUGCGGUACAUAUAAGUUAUUAUUGAGCUGUCCAUGAAAGUGAGGUCCUUAAAUUUUGAUUCUGCAAUGAUCUUGAUGACAAAUUCAAGAGCAAGGAACAGUACAAGCAAUGGACAAGGAGAAACAGACGACCAUACAAAUAAUCUGAGGCCCUCUUUGAAUUGUUCUGGCAGCUUGCUAAUAGCCUACUCCAUAUGGUUGCUCAGUUCGAUCUCAAUGCUUACAAUGUUUUCAGAUUUACUCUGUAUGGUUACUCAGUUCGAUCUCAAUGCUUUUAGAUUUUGCUCAGUUCAUGUUAUAACCCGCAGCACCGCGCGGGCAAUUCACCUGGUACAUUCUGCAAUGAUCUUGAUCACAAAUUCAAGAGCAAGGAACAGUACAAGCAAUGGACAAGGAGAAACAGACGACCAUACAAAUAAGAGUCGGCAGGCCGAUGUAUUGGGGCAGCCACCUCUCUGUUUAUAAAAAAGCUUUUUGCUCAGAUGAUUUUUGUGUUAUACCUCUUUUUUUUAUUAUUAUUAUUAUUUCAGAAAACUAUCCUGAACUGGAAAAUAAAAUGGAGUUGCUCGCCUCGCAACAUUUCAUCCUUGUACUGUUUGAAAGUAUAAUUAUAAUUAUUUUUUAAAAUAUUUUUAUUUAAAAAUAUAUAAAAAUAAUAUAUUUUUAUUUUUUAUAUCAACAUCUUAAAAUAAUUUAAAAACUCUAAACAUGUGACCUUUACAGGGCUUAAGUCUAAUCAGAUUCACUAAUCAAUAAAAAAAUUAUCAUAAAUGAGUGUUGUAACAAUAUUUUUUAAAUAUUUUUUUAUUUUUUUAAAAUUAUUUUUAUAUCAACACAUCAAAAUAAUAUAUAAAUAUAAAAAAAUAAAAUUUAACCAAUACCCAUUUAAAACACAAUAGCAAACUGGGAUUAAGCAACACAGAAUUAAUCAAAUAGUUUUUUGGAUAAUGAUAAUUUUGUUGGGCCACAGAAUUAGGUCACUGAAGAACUUUUUAGUAAAGGAUCAAUUAUCCACACAAUCCUUCAUCACCAUCCAAUCCCAUCACUGGAAAACUUAUCCUCUUUGAUCUCAAUGCCCUUUUGUCAUCCCCAAAUAUAUGCUUUUAUCCCUUUUCCUUUGUAUUUUGUCGUUUGUGUCUUUGUCCACUGGCUUAAGGGUGUUUAGUAAUUCUACAUACGGUUUUUUAAAAAAUAUUUUUCAAAUAAAAAUAUAUUAAUAUAAUGUUUUUUAAUUUUUGUUAAUACCAACCCAUUAAAAUUAAUUUGAUAUUUUUUAAAUAAAAAUAAUUUAAAAAGUAAUAUCAAUUACAUUACCACCAACUGUAUGGGUUGGUUUAUUGGGAUCAAAGUCAAGAGAAGCAUAGGUUUACGCUAAUGGAUGAUUACGACCAGAACAAGGGUUUAGCAAGGAUCGGAAGAGGGACAGGAGGGUUUAGAGGACACGUGUCAAGUCUUACCAUAAAGGUUAAAAAAUGAUUCAUGAUAUUACUGUAACGUCUUGUGAGAAGCUGAAGAGGAUGGCAAUUUGUUUCCCGUUGCUUGAAAAUGGCCAGCCAUCCCCUCCCCCUUCUCUUAGAGAAAUCAAUGAAUAUCCAGAAGAAUGGCGGGAGAGAGUAGUGGAGUGGGAGCAUCCUAACGCAAAGGAUGUCCUUCGUCCCUUUGUAAAGUAAUAUAAUAUAGUGUGCUUACAAUUACAUAAAUAACAUUUUUCAUUGUUUUAUUUCAUUAAAGACUACUGAAUUGUCAUAUAUAUAUUUUUUAACUUGAUAGAUAAAUAAUUAUAAUUUGAAGUUUGAUUAAUAUUAUAUUUUCAUCCUAUUGAGUUUCUCCAAGAUGAAAAUCCAAAAAAUAAAAUAAAAAUACUAUAUUGAUUUAUCAUUAAAGUAACCUAAUAAAAUAAUAAAUGUACAAACAUUUUUAAAAUGUCUAAGAGAGUAUGAAGAUGGCAGUUUUGGUUUCUAAACCUGAAACUGCCAUAUUCAUAAACACAUUUUUUAAAUAAAUGAAACUUCUAAGACCAAAUUUAAUACUAAAACUAGAAAGUAGCAUAGGCGUGUUAUAGGUAAGGGCAGAUACACUGCACUCAUGACAUGAUCUCUUUAAUAAUUUUGAUCCCUAUAAAAUCUCCCUCUGGUUGUUUGAAGCUAAAGCUUGAUUGCGUUCCUGUGGUUUUGAUGAGUCUAUGAAAUGCUAAAAUGCUAAAAUGGAAUAAAAAUAAUAGAAAUUAAACAGACAAGUCAAGGCCCAGCUGGAGUCGUGAAAUUUCACUAAUGAGGAUUUCGAAAAAGGAACUGCUAAAGCCUAAAAUUUAGGCAAUUUGUUUUUGACACAACGGGGAUCAUGAAGACGUGAUGAAAUAUAAUUUUAAAAUUUAAAAUAUUUUUAAAUAGUUAAGAUUAAAUAAGUUUUUAAUUUAACGCAAUUCAAUUUUAAUAAAAUAUCAAUUAAUUAAUAAUAAAAUAAUAAAAUCGAUAGUGUCAUCGGUUGAUUUUAUUAGUUUAAGUCAACAUUAAUAAAACAAAAGAUUUGAAAUUUAAUUAAUUAUUAAAUAACAUGUUUAUGGUUAGAUUACAGUUUCUUCUUUACAAAUAACCAGGGGGGAAAUUAACAUAAAAAACAAAUCUUAAAUUUCAUUUUUUAAAUAAAUUAGGUAGGAUUUGAGUUUUUUUAAGUAAUUAUAUCUUUAUUAGCUUAAACAAAGAUACUUAUUAAAAGGGCAGAUUAGAAAAGGGAAAUUUAAGAGUAAUUAAACUUGUAAAAGCAUGUUGAAGACCAUAUCUAAAAUAUAAGGAUUAAUUGGGAAAAGUCUUCAAAGAAAAAGGACUACUUUUUUAUGGGAUGGUGGGGGAGUUUCUCGGAAUUGAAAUGGUCAAGGAUGUAGAGGAGUGUCAUCUUUCCCAUCACUGUUAUCGCCACCGAAGAGUCGAAAUUAGUCCUGGCCUGUUAUGGCAAGUCGUCGGAGGGAGGGCGACCCAUUUUCCUAAAGGAUUGUUUGGCAAAGCGUACACUUGCAUAAAGGAAUGGUUAAGGCUCUCUUGAAAAUUAAGAGUUCUAUAAAAGGUAUCAAGAUUAAGGAAUGUAUAAUAACGGUUGUGGUUUAAAAUAUUUUUUAUAUAAAAAUAUAUUAAAAUAAUAUUGUUUUAAAUUAUUUUUGACAUCAACACAUCAAAAUAAUUUAAAAACAUAAAAAAAUUAUUCUUAAGCAAAAAAAAUUAAAUUAUGAUGGAACACGGUUUGCAUUGCGUUUCUAAAUACGCUCUAGGUCAGAGUUGGAUUUUGCUCCACCGGUCUUCAACUAUGAAUAUUGAAAUUUAUUAUUCAUUUGUGUCUUUGAUUUUGCCGAUUCGAGCCAAGCCGACAUUACCCGAUCGACUUUUUUUCAAUCAAUUUUACAAAAAUAAAAAACUUAAAAACCAAACCAAAUCUUCAUUUUGAGUUAUAAAAUAAGCUAUAAAUUUCAAAUCCAACAAUGGAUUUAUUAAAGAGAAAAACAUUUAACUAUAUAAAUACAAUUUGAAUUAUUUGAACCACAUUUUGUAUACAUUUAAUUUUCUUAACACUAAAGAAUGAUCAUGUAAGUGUUGUUAAAAUAUUUUUUAAUAUUGAAAAAAAUAUAUAAAUAUAAAUCAAAAGGUCAAUGCUUGUAUAUAAUAAAAUACAAUGAGGAUCAUUGUCUGCCCUCCGCUACGACAUAGGUCAUGAUAUUGUAAUAAUAUUGUAAAAAGCAAAUCAGAACAAAUUAAUCAUAUAAAAACAAACACAAAAUAUAUCAUGAAGAUCAAUCUAAAAUAAACCAAAUGCUUUAAAAAACAUUAAAAAUGAAUCCUUUUUUUUAAAAAAAAAAUAUGUAAACUGUCGCACGUGCGCGACGUCGCGGCGAUCGUCCACCCUCGUAUGUGUGAUGGGGGGUAUAUAUCUAGUAAAUAUGGUGAGACAAGGAGUUCUUUGUCUCUUAGCAGUGAAAAAUAGUGUGGGAGUCGCCACCUAGUAUUUUGGUCACUAGGAACCCUAACUGGUCUCAGAGAUCAGGCACGGGGACUGGUUGCGUAAAGAGAAGGUAUUAGCACCCCAAAUACGCCUUACCUAAGGUAAGCUGCAUUGUUUAUUUGUCUGAUAAAAUUCAAAGUCUCGUUGUGUUUCCUAGUUGUUGGUCCAUCCAUAGUUCAAGAAAAGUCCUCCUCAAUAAGGAGGUCCUUAUCUUAUCGGGUAAAACCUAAACGUUCUAAUGUCUAUGUAUGUUGGUCCGUCUAUGGUUCAAGAAAAGUCCUCCUCAAUAAGGAGGUCCUUAUUUUAUCGAGUAAAACCUAACCGUUCUAAUGUCUAUGUAAAAAAGCUAUAUUUUUAAUAUCAGGAAUACAUUUUACGUAUAAAUUCUUAAUCCCAAAUACUAAAAGAAGACAAAAAGAUUUUUUUAGAAUUUUUGAAAUAUUGGCCUAGUUCUCAUGACUUGAAUAAACUGGUUAUUAAAGCCAAAAUGCAUGCUAAUACAUAUAUUGAUUUUUGAAAUUUCCUUUGUUGUGUGAAAAUAUGCUGUUAUAAUAUUUAUAUAUAUAUAUUGGAGAGACUAGGCCGUAUGCACGAAAACAAAACCUUUUUAAUUUAUGUAUUUUUUUUGUAUGUUUUGACGCAAAUCGGGUAUUUUAAUACUGGGUUUGUAUUCUUACAGUAUAAAAAUACAACCAAAUAUUAAUCCACUUUGAUAAAACAAAUGCAGAAAAAUCAACAAUAUUUUUAAAGAUAUUUUUAGAAAAUUUUUGAAAAGCAAAAGACAUUUUUUUAUUUUGAAAAUCUUUGAUGUUUUGAUGAAAACCGGGUAUUUUAAUACUGGAUUUUGUAUCUUUAGAGUAUAAAAAUACCAACCGAUAUUAAUCAAAAUACAAUAAUAAAAUUACAACAAAAUCACAUAUUUUUUUAAAAUAAUUUUUGCAGAAUUUUUGUAAUUUUUCACAUAUAUAUAUAUAAGUAAUACAAAAUAUAAUAUAAAUAAUAUAUAAUAUUAAAUUCAGGCUGGGCCGGCCCAACCAACUGGGCCGGACUCAGCCCAAAAUUGUUGGGCCGAUUUCGGCCCAAAGUGGAUUGGGCCGAUCUCGGCCCAAAAAAACUAAUAUUCUCUUCUGGGCCAGACCUGGCCCAGAAGACAGGGCUGGGCCAGGAUCUGCCUGGCCCAAGCCAAAACGGGCGGGGGGAAUUAUUUUCCCCCCACCCCUGCAUGCAGAACGCUACUCGUUCUGCAUGCAGAGAAGGAAAAGAAAAAAUAAACGCGAGAAUGAGGGGGAAGAAAAGUUACCUGGCGCGGAGGCGGAGGCGGUGGCUUGCUGCGUUUCUGGCGGUGCUGUGGUGGAGGCCGGUAGCGGUGUCGCUGCUCACUGGCGGCGGCUCCAAGCAGCGGCGCUGCUGUCUCAAGCGGCGGAGAGAGGGAUUCUUCCUCUUUCCUUCUCCUCUGUUUCCUUCCCUUUUCUUCUUCUUCUUUGGUUUUCUUUCCCCCUGUUUUCCUUUCUUUCGGUUCUCUCUUCUUCCUCUCCCCUUUCUCUCUCUUUCGGUUUUUUUUCCGUUCUCCUCCCCUCUCCUCUGUUCUUCUUGUUUUUUUCUCCCCCGUCUGUUCUCUUCCUCCUCCUCAUUGCUGCUGUGUUGGCUGUUAUUUAUAGAGCCAAGUGAGUGGCUUUUCGCUGUGGAGCAUGGGGAGCAGCCGGCCGGUCGGCCAUUGGGCGCGACUGCCAAGGCUCGGCCCCCCUCCCCGGUUUUCUGGCAGGUGCGCGGUGGGUGGUCGGCCAUUGUGUCCGGUCGGUGGGCUCCAGGCGAGAGAGUGGCCGGCAAAAAUUCAAAUUAAAGCAACCCUUUUUCCUUCUUCCCCGCUGCAUGUUCGGGGGGGAAGAAGAAAGAUGAACAGUGUCAUUCAAAACGACACCGUUCUGCUCUUUCUUUUUUUUUUUUUUCUUGAAUGUAUGAAACGGCGUCGUUUUGGAGAAAACACGCCGUUUCAUUUGAAUGUGGCGCCAAAACGCGCCAAAGUCCAAAUCAGCCCUUAAUCAUCUUUUUUUCUUCAAUUGCGUCCCUGCCAAUUUCGGUCUCCGCCCCUCUUGUUGGCCGCGUUUUUCACUUUAGUCCUUGGCCUCUGAUUUAUGCAAUUGAGCCCUUAAUUGAUCAAAAACUUCCAAUUUCUUCAAUUAGGCCCCUGAAUCAAUUAAUUCCAGCCCCUCCAUUUACGCGCCUCUUCCAAUUUGGUCCCUGGUUUCGGAUUUUCUCAAUUAAGUCCCCAAUUGGCCCUUAAACUUCAAUAUUUAUGCAAUUAGGCCCCUGAUUUGACCUAAUAAAUUCCUAAAAAAUAUAUUUUGGCCCCAAAACUUAAAUUUCUUCUAAUGAAAGCCCAAAUUGACUUAAAAAUCAAAUUUUCUUACAAUCAAAUCUCCUAUAAAUUCAUUUAAAAAUCCAAUCAAGUCCAUAAACAUCCAAAUUUGGGCUUUUCUCCUCAAAUUUCAAAUUUUCCUUCUCAACAGGGCUCUCCUCCCUCAAGAAUAUAUUAUCAAAAAAAAUCCAAUCUUUGUAUUUUUAACCUCAUUGACAAAUUUUCCAACCAUUUUCUGAGCGCUUCUACCUCCUGUUAUUUUUCUAACCUCCUUUGGCUAUAUAUUUUUAUAUAUAUUUUGUGGGGACCCAAAAAUGGGUUACAACAUAAACGACAACAUAAUAGUUCGACAUGAGCUUUGUGACUAAACCCACCAAACCCGCGACUUUGUAAAAAACAAAUCAGAAUAAAUUAAUCGUACAAAACAAUCAUGAAACAUAUCAUGGAGAUCAAUCUAAAAUAAGCCAAAUGCUUUAAAAAAAAUUAAAAAUGAAUCUUUUUUUUAAAAAAAAAUAUGUAAACGACAACAUAAUAAAUCGAUAUGAGCUUUGUAGCUAAAUCCACAAAACCUGCGACUUGAAUCAUGGAGUCCAUUGAGUUUAAUAAGAACGUUAUUUUAAUUCUUUUUUUUCUAAAAAAAGGAAAAUUAAGUGAAAAGUUUUUAUAGAAAGACCAAGCCUAGUUGGGCAUAUAAUAAAAUCUACAGGGACUGUAAAUACAUAAUCAAGAAAAUAGGAGGACCAAAGUUAACUUUUUUCACCAUCCAUUCUCUCUGUUUUUUUCACUAUCUUUUGAUUUUAUACUCGAUUAACAAUCUUACUUAAACUGAUACUCAAUUUAAUUCAGAAAGGGCGGAAUUUAAAACAACCGAAGUAUUGGAAAAUUCAUCAAUCAUGAUGUUAACAUGUCAUAAUUAAUUUGAGAUAAGGAAUAUGUAUGGACUUUACAAAUAGGUAUUAUCAUCUAGAAUACUAUAAUUCUUAUUAGCAAUUUUUUUUUGUACAUAUUCAAGGCUUUCUACCAGAAUUCUUAUUAGGAAAAACUUGUGUAGAUAUUCAAGGUAGCUGUAAGUACAAAUUCUCAAAGUACUGUAGGGAAUGGAAGUUGAGGUGGAUCAGAUAAUGACAUUGAUGGGGGAGGAGUGCGAUGCAUCAUUCCUAGCAUAGUCUUACAUUUUCAGGUCAGCUUUUUCAAAGUUUCAACAAUGGGGUGGGUCCACGAGUUAAAGUGUUUGGCAUUAUUGUCAGAAAAUGUUUUUCUUAAAAAAUAAUUUUUAGCUUCUGAUUCUUUUGUUGAAGAUUUUAAUUAUAUGCAGCGCUAGACAAAAGAAAAGCGAAAUAGAGGUGUACAGCAACUUGUUGUCUCUUGUAAUAUAAUCUUUGGUAGGAAAGUUAUGGCUUUUUUCCUAGCAACUUCUUGUCAAACAAUAAAAGAAUCUUUGCUACUGUAACAUUCUCUUCCAAAUCUCAUCUCAUUAUACCAUUGAUUUCCAAUUUCCCUCAUCAAAUUUCUUAAACCUUUCUGAUGAUCAGUGCUUCCUUUUCUGAUUGAAUCGAAUCAUCUGGAGCUCAACAUCUUGCAACUUCCUUGUUAUUUUUAAACCAUAUAUUCUUCUCUGAUCUUGUUUUUCUUCCUGAAUACUAGUUAAGCAAACCAGCACUUGAAGAACUACUUGAUCCAGGUAAAUUAUUUAUACUCCAUCUUCUUCAUUUUGUUUUUCACAUGUAACUCUGGUUUGAAUCUUUCAAGGAAAACACAAGUUGUAGAAAUUAUAAUGAGAAACUUUGGAGUUAGGAUCAUCAACAGUUUCCAAAAAUAAAUAAUUUGAUCUUUCUCAGUUGUAACAAUCCAUGCCUUAAGGAGUUCAUACUAAAUUGACCCCAAGUUAACCUUGAAUUCAUUGGUUUUUCUUCUUGGUUUCUUUGCUGUUUGUAACUUAUUAUUUUAGUUUCAACCUUCCUUUUCCAAUUAAUGUACUUCCAUUAAUUUUUAUUCAAUAUUUUGACCCUUUUUAUCUAUAGGACAAAUGGAUCCGUUUUGGAAUGAAGUUGAAGAUAUGAAUGAUGGAAGCAAGAAGUGUAAAUUUUGUGGGCAUUUAUUUGCCAAUGGUACUUCCAUUUCGAGGAUCAAAUGGCAUUUAUCAGGAGAGAGAGGGCAUGGUGUUGGCAUUUGUGGUCAGGUGCCUAAAGAAGUUCAAGAAGCAGCCUUUCUAGCUAUGCAUGGUGGCAACAAAAGACAUAAAAGCAUAGCAAGUUCAAGCAAUGUUGACAUUUCCACCUGUCCACAAGAACAAGAUAAUGCAGUACUUGGUAAUUUGGCACAAGGUGUUGGGCGUGAGAGAAUUCAUUCGCGUUUAGAAGCGGCAAAUGGCAUGGAAAACACUGGUGAAGGAUCUUUUCAGCAUGUUGACAGAAGUGUCUCUCCUUGGAGACUCGGAGUUGAUGCUCAUGAGAAUAAAGGAGAAGCAACACAAAGAACAGAUUUAGCGGAUCAAUUUGCUGAUAGUACUUGGGUUCAGAUACACUCUGCCCUUUCAAAGGCGCAGAAGCUGAAUGAAAUCUCUACCUAUUUAAUGCAGGAAGAUGAGGAUGUGGAGCGUCUGCAUGAUGCAUUUGAAACCGUACCGAGAACAGAACAAGUGCAGCAUCUGGAGAGAGGUAGCUCUUGUGAGAGGCCAUCAAUUAAUCAAGCUGUGUAUAAUGUGCAGAACAUGGUUAGAGUGAGGACAGAACCAGUGGAGGAGGAUGUGGAGAAUAGUGGAAGAUUAGCGCGGCCUGACGCUGGAGCUAGAUCUUCUAUAAGCCUUAAAUACAACACAAGUGAGACUAGAGGAGUUCCAUUACCUACUAGCUCUACAAAGCCAGUGGGUCAAGCAUUUGAAGAGAAUACGAAAGUGAUAUGGUCUUUGUUAAUGGAUGAUAAAGUCUCAACCAUUGGCAUUUACGGCAUGGGGGGAGUUGGUAAAACGACAAUACUAAAACAUAUCUAUAAUGAGCUUCGAGAAAGAAAGGACAUUUGUGAUCAUGUUUGGUGGGUGAUUGUAUCUCAAGAUUUCAGUAUUAAUAGAUUGCAGAAUCUUAUUGCUAAACGUCUUAAUCUAAACCUUUCAAGCGAAGAUGAUGAUUUGUAUAGAACUGCUAAAUUGUCAGAAGAACUAAGGAAGAAAAAAAAAUGGAUUCUCAUUUUAGAUGAUUUGUGGAAUAAUUUUGAGCUUGAGGAAGUGGGAAUUCCUGAGAAGUUAAAAGGAUGCAAGCUGAUUAUGACAACUCGAUCAAAAAUAGUUUGUGAUCGGAUGGCUUGCCACCCCAAAAUCAAAGUGAAGCCACUUUCCGAGGAAGAAGCUUGGACUUUGUUCAUGGAGAAACUUAGAAAUGACAUAGCACUUUCACGAGAAGUGGAAGGAAUUGCGAAAGCUGUUGCAAGGGAAUGUGCUGGUUUGCCAUUGGGAAUUAUUGCAGUGGCAGGAAGCUUGAGGGGAGUGGAUGAUCUACAUGAUUGGAGGAAUACAUUGAAUAAAUUAAGAGAAUCAGAAUUUAGGGACAUGGAUGAGAAGGUAUUCAAGUUAUUGAAGUUUAGUUAUGAUCGGUUAGGUGAUUUAGCACUAAAGCAAUGUCUCUUGUACUGUGCAUUAUUUCCUGAAGAUGAUAGGAUUAAGAGGAAGAGGUUGAUAGGUUAUUUGAUCGAUGAGGGAAUAAUUAAAGGAAAGAGGAGUAGGGGAGAUGCAUUUGAUGAGGGCCACACGAUGCUUAAUAGACUUGAAAAUGUCUGUCUAUUGGAAAGUGCUAAUUGUAAUAAUGGUAGACGUGUCAAGAUGCAUGACUUGAUUAGGGACAUGGCCAUCCAAAUACUGCUAGAGAACUCUCAAGGCAUGGUCAAAGCAGGUGCACAAUUAAAAGAGUUGCCAGAUGCAGAGGAAUGGAUGAAGAAUCUGACGAGAGUUUCAUUAAUGCAAAACAAGAUCGAAGAAAUUCCUUCCAGCCAUUCACCAAUGUGUCCAAAUCUGUCCACUCUAUUUCUAUGUGAUAAUAGAGGGUUGAGAUUUGUUGCGGAUUCAUUUUUCAAGCAAUUACAUGGGCUCAAGGUCCUCGAUCUGUCUUGCACAGGUAUUGAAAAUUUGCCAGACUCUGUCUCUGAUUUGGUGAGUCUCACUGCGUUAUUGCUCAAAAAGUGUGAGAACUUACGUCAUGUUCCAUCAUUAAAGAAGCUCAUGGCACUGAAGAGGUUGGAUCUCUCUCGUACUGCGCUUAAAAAGAUGCCGCAAGGAAUGGAAUGCCUAAACAACCUGAGGUAUCUUAGAAUGAAUGGAUGUGGUGAAAAGGAGUUUCCUAGUGGGAUAUUACCAAAACUCUCUCAGCUGCAAGUUUUUGUACUAGAAGAGCUUAAGGGGAUCAGUUAUGCUCCGAUAACAGUUAAAGGAAAGGAAGUAGGAUCCUUGAGAAAUUUGGAUACUUUGGAAUGCCAUUUUAAAGGUUUCUCUGACUUUGUGGAGUAUCUCAGAUCUCAGGAUGGGAUCCAAUCAUUAAGUGGAUACAGAAUUUCAGUAGGAAUGGUGGGUACAUAUUUUUGGAAAUACAUGGAUAAUUUGCCAUGUAAAAGAGUUCGGUUGUGUAAUUUGAGUAUCAACAGAGAUAGAGAUUUUCAGGUCAUGUCCUUAAAUGACAUUCAAGGACUGGUUUGUGAAUGCAUCGAUGCAAGAAGUUUAUGUGAUGUUUUGUCAUUAGAGAAUGCAACUGAACUGAAGCACAUCAGCAUUUGGGAUUGCAAUAGCAUGGAGAGCUCGGUUUCAUCUUCUUGGUUCUGCUGUGCUCCACCACCAUUGCCAUCAUGUAUGUUUUCUGGGCUUAAAGAGUUUUAUUGUGUUAGAUGUAAAAGUAUGAAGAAGCUGUUCCCACUUGUGUUGUUGUCAAACCUCGUAAACCUGGAAGUGAUUGACGUUAGAGAUUGUGAGAAAAUGGAGGAGAUAAUAGGAACAACAGAUGAAGAAAGCAGCACCUCCAUUUCCAUCACGAAAUUAAUACUCCCAAAGUUAAGAACUCUGAGACUGAGAUAUUUACCAGAACUGAAAAGCAUUUGCAGUGCAAAACUGAUUUGCAAUUCUCUUGAAGAUAUUACUGUAGAGGAUUGUGAUAAGCUGAAGAGGAUGCCAAUUUGUCUUCCAUUGCUUGAAAAUGGCCAGCCAUCUCCUCCCCCUUCUCUUAGAAGAAUGAAUAUAAAAUCAAAAGAAUGGUGGGAGACAGUAGUGGAGUGGGAGCAUCCUAACGCAAAGGAUGUCCUUCGUCCCUUUGUAAAGUUUGGGUUAGUUUGAGGAGCCAUCUCAUCCUUUCGUUAAUCCUUUCGUUGUAAGAAUACUAAUUGAUUGUAACCUUAAAUUUGCUCGUAUUCAAUAAUAUUCAAUUCUUUCAAUCAUUUUUGAUAUGAUUGAUGAAAAUAGUCCUUUAAAUCAACAAGGAUAUUCUUAUUAGUUAAUAUUGAAAUAAUCCUUCGUCCCUUUGUAAUUUAAAAUUUGAUUAAUAUUAUAUUUUCAUCCUAUUGAGGUUCUCCAAGAUGAAAAUCCAAAAAAUAAAAAAAUACUACAUUGAUUUAUCAUUAAAGUAACCUAAUAAAAUAAUAGAUGUUUUGAAAGAGGGGGUAUAGCGUUUAUUGUACUCCAAACUCAUUGACUGAUGUACCUCUUAAAUAAAAGCACACCAUAUACUGUCAAUAAAAAUAGUGAAUUAUUCUAUAUUAAAAUAUAUUAUUUUAAUGUAUUUUUAAAUAAAAAAAUAUUAAAAAUAACAACAAUUACAUUCAAUCUAAUUACACAAAUCUGACUUAAUACAUAUUAAAGUUUGUGAAGAUUGAAUACCUAGUCUUUAUUUUUUAGUUAUUCUAUAUAAAAUAUAUUAUUUUAAUAUAUUUUUAAAUAAAAACUACUUUAAAAAUUUUAAAAAUAACAACAAUCACAUUCACUUCCGCACUGUCAAAAUCAUUCUAAAAGUAGUAAUGUUCUUUAAAAAAUCAUUGUUUAUGGAUUCAGUAAUGUUUUUUCUAUUAAAUGGAUUAAUUGUUUGAUUAUAUUUAGAUCAUUUAUUUAUCUGUAUUAAUUUAAUUUUUUUACUAUAAUAUUGAUUUAAUAAAAAGAACUCCUACAACAUGCACUUAGCUGCCAAAAAAAUCCUAAAAUUGACUCAAUUGGAAAGGAUCAUGGUACUUACUAUCAAGAUUGUUAUGCCCGCAAUCAAAACAUAAUUUGUUUUUGUACUUAGAAUUAUGUUUGAGUGCAUUUAAAAAUUUGUUUAUUUAAAAAAAUAUAUUAAAUUAAUAUUUUUAAUAUUUUUUGAUAUAUUAAUAUUAAAAUAAAAAAAUAUUUUAAAGAGAAAAAAAAAUAUUUGACAAAGAAUAAAUAGGAAGCUUACGAAUAGUUAAGAGUCGUAUUGCAAAGUAUAGUUUACCGGUUGACUCACAGAUUAACUGAUUAACCCCAUCAUAUUAUUUAUUUAUAAAAACUAAAAUAAUAAUGUUUUUUUUUAAUAUUAUCUUUUUAAAUAUUUUUAUUUUAAAAAAGUUUCACGUUGUAGAUAAAAAAAUGUUUUAAUUUAGCAACGAUAGAGCAUCCACAAGGAAGAUGUUUUGCCUCUUUUUUUUUAAUUUGUUUUUGUUUAUUUGAUUAUAGGCUGGUUUAGAAUUCAGCUAACAUCUAAUAAAAUAUUUUUAUUCUUAGAAAUUUUGUGAAAAACAAUCAGAAAACUAAUUUAAUUAGGGAUUAUUAAUUGAGUAAUUAAUUACCUUAACCUUACAGAGGAUUUUCUUUUCUUUUAUUUUAUUUUUAGAAACAGCUAAUUUAAUCAAACCCCAAUAGCCUGAUUCUUGGAUCACAGAAGCUUGAGACAUGGCACGUGCUACAAGGAAAAAAGCAUGAUUGUGUUGAAAACCUUUAAGAUUGGACUGUCGCAUUCUAACAAUAAUGUUUGUACCAUUUAAUAAUAAUUGGACCCAACUUCACUUCAACUUUAUUUUAUAUUUAUAAUAAAUAAAAAGCAUGAUUGUGUUGAAAAUCUAUUUUCUGUUUUUAUUUUUCAAUUUUGAGAUGACUCCUCAGGAAACAAUUCCAACCAAUUAUUUGCCCUGGAAUUUGGAUGAUGUGUAAUUCCAAGCGGGCACGCUGCAUUUCUUAGCCAGGUGGAGCAAGAAUUGAGGUAGCUUGUUUCUGGCUUUUGCUUCUCUGGGUAUGAUUUAUUGGGCUACUUUAUAGGAUUUUUUAUAAAGCAUUUUGUUUUUAAUUUCAUUUGAUAAUUUAUUUCAAUAAGCUUGUUAUGGAGCUCUUGUGGUCUAAGAAGAAAAAACAAUUCAAUGUAGAGGUGAUUUUGUUCAAUUUAAUUGAUUAAAAAUAAGUGAAAUUUUGAAGGUCAAAUUUGAUAUUAAAAUUAUAUUCAAGACUGAAUGUGAUAUUAAAACUAAAAAUAAGUAAAAAGUUUUUACACUGGUAAAUGUUAUGAAAAGAAAUUGCUAUCCAGCUGGUGUACAGAUUGGAUAGCAAAUCAAGCGUUGAAGUUUUCUACUGCAGUGAAGCUCCCUCUCGUUUUGAUAAGUGUUCGAAAAUAUUUUAUUAUUUGUUUGUUUUUAUGGUUUAAAAAUAUGUUAAAAAAAUUAAUUUUUUAUUUUAAAUUUAAUUAAUUUUUUUGUGUUUUGAAAUUGUUUGGAUGUAUUGAUAUUACAAAUAAUUUUUUAAAAAAUAAUAAUUAAAUAUUAUUUUGAUAUAUUGUUAAACAAAAAAUAUUUUUAAAAAUAAUUGAUACUGCACUCUCAAACACCCCUCAAUGCUAUAUUAUUGAAAUAAAAUGCUAAAAUGUGAAUAGAAAUAAUAGAAAUUAAUGUGUAUUUUUUAAUUGAAUUUCUAUUUACUUUAUAUACUCUUAAACAGGUCUUUAUGUUUGACUUCAGAGUUUAUAGAAAAGCAAGUCAAGACCAAUCAAAUUCGAAGGAGUUAACCUAAUUUAACUGAUUAAAUUUUAAGUUUAUUCUUUAAAAGUUAUUAAUUUAAGUUUAUUUAUCCGUUAAAUUCACUUGGAACCAGCCUGGAUACACUAAAAGUAGUAAUGUUUUUUUUCUCUUGAAAACAGCCUGGAUGCACUUAAGUAUUUUAAUCACAACUUUCCCCUCACAUAUCAGCUUGCUGUGAUUCAUGACGCGUUGGAAAGGUAUCUUAAAGGGCUACAAAUUAGCCUCUAAUGAGGAUUUCGAAAAAAGAACUCCUAAAGCAUUUACGUGGCUGCCUAAGAAGUCCUAUAAUUUAGGUUUCUGAUGAAAACGUGCGGGAUCAUGGAGACGUGAUGAAAAAGGAGGGCUGCCUCUUUUAGAAAAAGGGGUAUUUGUUGGCAAUUGCGCCAGAGAAAAAAAGAAGAAGGAGAACAGGCAAGGAAAGGAAUGGCUAAUACAGUGAAGUAGUAAUAUUUUUUUUUGAUAUAUUGAUAUUAAAAAUAAAAAAAAUAUUUUGAUUACUAAUAACGAAUAGUUAAGAGACGUACUGGUGGACUUAACCUGAGUAAAAAACAAAACCACAUCAUAUUAUUUAUUUAUAAAAACUAAAACGAUGGUAUUUAUUAAAAAAAAAACUAAAAUAACAAUGUUUUUUUAAAUAGUAUUUUUUUAAAUAUUUUUAUUUUAAAAAAGUUUCACAUAGUUGUAGAUAAAAAAAAAAAAGAUGUUUUAAUUUAGCAACAAUAGUUAAGAGACGUAUUGGUGGACUCACAUAUUAACUGAUUAACCUGAAUAAAAAACAAAACCACAUCAUAUAUAUAUAUAUUGGGUUGGUGUUUAAUUUUAUAAUUAUCUAUUUUUAUUAUUAUAUUAUUAAAUAAAAACAAUUUUAAAAAAAAUUAUAAUCCUAGUUGAGUCCAUAACCUGGUUCAUGAGUUUGAUGUGCUAGACCAAGUGACCUGAUUCACAAAUUUGACAGGUUUACUACUGAUCGAAUAUGUUUUUUUUUUUGUUUAUGGUCUUUUAAUUUUUUUAAUUGAUUUUUUUUAUUUUGUCCUUCAAUAUUAUAUUGGUUUCGAAAUAGACUGCAUGAUUUAUUUUUGUUUGUUUUCUAUAGGAUUAUCAUAAUUUUAAAUAAAUAUUUAUCUUAGGGAUAAUACUCAAUUUUAUGAGCAUAUUUUUUUUUCAUAUAAUUAAAUAAAAAAAGCUUAUAAAAAAUUACUAAACCCAAUAAAAUCCAUGACCCGGGUCGCAAGGUACCGAGAUCGAUCAAAUCUGUUAUUAUUUCAAUAUUUUUUUUAAAAAGGUUGUUGUCUAGAGUUUUUUUCUUAAAGCUAAGCCAUGUUUUACUGAUCUUCUAAGUUAUAUUUGGAUAUUGAUCAAUUUAAAUUGAGUUAAUUUCCAUAUAAUUUAAUUAAAAACUUAAAUUAAAUAAAUUAUUAGGUUAAAUUUUUUUAAUAUUAACUACCUAACCAGGUUUAAUAAUAUCGCCAACAAACUUUCUUCACUCUUAAUAUCUUAUAAUAUAAUGUUUGGUAUGUAAAGUAGUGGGUUGCUUCCUAGCAACUUCCCUCCUAUCAAACAAAACAAUAAUUUGUGUAUACUGCAACUUUAUUAUUUUUCUAAAUCAUAUAAUCUUCUCUGAUCUGUGAUUUCUCUUCUGUUUUAAUCCUCAGGACGUACUAAUCAUCUUCUACCUCUUUUCCUUUCCACACCUCACCAGUGCGAACUAGAUUUAUGUGAUUUCUCUUCUCUUUUUUUUGGCUGAUUACUUCUCAAGCGAACCAGCACUUGAAUCCAGGUAAAUUAUUUGUACUUCAUCUUGUUGGUGUUUUUGUUUUUAUAUAUUUAACUAUGGUUUGAAUCUUUAAAGUAAUCCAUGCCUAGUGGAGAGUUCAUAUAUACUAAUUAAUACUGAAUUCAUUGCUUUCAUCUUUUCAAAAUUCUUUGCUGUUUUUAACUCAUUAUUUUAGAUUCACCCUUUUCUUUUCCAAUUAAUGGGACUGCCAUUGAUUUUUAUUCAAUAUUUUUCAACUUGAACAUUAGUAUUAUUUUCAACUAAUUAAUACUGAAUCACCACUGAUGACUCGAGGAUUCCACCUCUGGACCAUUAGCAUAAACUAGCAAUUAAUUAGAUUAACAUAAUUAAUUAUCUUGGAUUCUACUUCAUUAAUUGGGUACGUAGACGCUGCGAUCUGGCCCCCUGGAAACUUGAGGGGCACUUAUUGACAGUGGCUAACAUUAAUGUGACCCCUUCAUGAAUAUAUAUGAUUUCUUCUGGAUUCUUGUGAAGAAUACUGUUUGGUGUAGAUCUUUAGCCCCUGUGAACUUUCAGGAAAUGCUGCCGUGUAACUGUUAGCUUUUUUUUUUUUUUAGUUUAACAUGGGUGUCCGGGCCAGCUUGCACGUACCUCGACUAAUCCCAUUGGCCCUGAAGUUAACGAUCAUGUAAGCCUCCAAUGGUCAUCAUAUACACAUGACUCGAACCUGAAAUUACAAAAAAAACAAAUUUCUUGUUCCCAAGCUCUUACCAGUAUAACUAUUAGCUUUCAUUUAACCGAUCUGCUUAGUGACCUCACAAAUAUGGGAACUGGGAUCCAUAUUUAAUUAUGACAAAAAAAAAAAAAAAACCAACCCUUUUCAUGUUGUCAUCAACUUUAAAUGAACUGAUAGUGCUUCAAUUAUUCCUCUGGAGUAGACACCCAUGUUACUUUUAUGUAUUAAAUUAGUAUGGUUUGCUAAGAAUACCUUCUUGAAAAAAGGAACCAUAAGUAAUGGGAUUAACCUACCCAAGGUUAGGGUUAAGUUCAAAAUGGCCUUGGAGUCAUAAACUUAAAUAAAAUAAAAAACAUAUUAUAAGAUAUUACGAAUCCUUUUCAGAGGCUUGUACUUGAUGCUGCAGAAUAUAAGUUAUAGUAAAAAAUGGAAAUGGGACUUUGCGUGAUAAAUUAUAUGUUAGAAUAAUGUCACACAAGGGCAGGGGAAUCUUAACAAGCUAGCAAGGAUAUAUACAUAUAUAUAUAGUACACCACCAUAACAUCCAACAUACCUCACUAAUUAUUAAUUAAUUCUCGAACUUUGAGAACUUAAAGAAUAAAAAAUAUUCGCAAUCAGUUAAUUACCCCUCUCUUCACUGUAUUAAAGACCUCCAAAACAAUCAGCUCUUCUACCUUCAACAGUUAUCCUGCAUCUUUCUAUCUAUCAUAAAAAUAAUUUGAGUAUGAUAAUUUAUCUUAAAAGACAAAGGAUUAAAUCAUUAACAACAACAUUUAUAUUUCAUAUUUUUCAUCCGAAUUUCUUUAACAAACAAGAAAGUCAUAUAUAUAUAUAUAUUCUUUUCUGAUCUGUGCUUUCUGUUCUUUUAAGACCUCAGUUUUUUUUGUCUUUUCUGAUCUUUUCUGGUCAGAUGGAAGAGUUCCAACCAUCUUUUAUGGAGGAGGUUGACAACAUGACAUGGGAUCAGCUGGGUUUUCAAUCAGAAGAAGAUACAUUCAAUAUGUCUGAGCUUCUCUCGUACGUCAUUCUUAAGCAUAUUUUAUCAGAAGAUGAUUGCUUGCAGUUUAGUUAUUCUUCAGUUUAUCCUAUUAUUCCCAAAAAACAAUAUAAUGUCGUCACUGUCCAUGGAAGCAGGCCGCCACCGGAGGUUCCAGUCAACCAAAGCUCCAUAUCAUGCAAUGAUCAAGGUGGACAGAACAAUGUGAUCAACAAUAGUAUUCAACAAACAACUCCGUUUCCAACUUCAUUUCCUGAAACAAUGGUGAGUACUCCAAGCUUACUCCAAUUUGCUACAAUGUCCAUUGAAUUAGCAAGUGUUUGUAUUAUACAAAAAGUUUUAUGUUAAACAAACAGACAACAAUUGAGAGAUUUAGACAUUUUUUAUGAUAUUUUUUAUCAUUAAGUUUUAUAUAAAAUUGGCCUCAAACUCCAUCAAGGCAUCAUAAUUCCUUUAUUCAUCAACCUCAGCCGGGACAUGGCUAUAUGACACCGAACGCAACCACUUCACAACAUGGUGGCUUCAAUCAACCUGGACCUUCUUUUCCUCCUCCCCGGUAUCCAAUUUUUCAUGUUUAGUAUUUUCUGUAAAAAAAAAAUAGUUUUUCAAUCAUUAUUUAACUUCUUCUUCCUCCUCCUCUUGUUGUUGUACUUAUCAGUGAAUUCAUUAACAAAUGUUGCUAAUUUAGGGACCAACAAUGGACUCAUUAUCUGUUACCAAUGAGCAAUCAAGUGCCUGCGAUGCUACCUGGACCUCAACCUCCAAUGAAUCAAUGGUAUUAACCUCGAAUUUACGCUUUUUUAAUCAUGAAAACAAUAAACUUGACCAAAAUUGACGAGGAUCUUUCAAGUCUUUUUGAGCUCUCUAUCUCUCUUUUUUUGUGCACAUAAUGGAACUAGAAAAUCAACCAAGUGAGCAUAACAGUUCUAAGUUUAACUAUUUGAAUAUUCUUCAGGCAUCAGAACUCCUUUAUUCAUCAACCUCAGCCGGGACAUGGCUAUAUGACACCGAACGCAACCACAUCACAACAUGGUGGCUUCAUUCAACCUGGACCUUCUUUUCCUGCUCCCCGGUAUCCAAUUUUUCAUGUUUAGUAUUUUCUAUAAAAAAAAAUUAGUUUUUCAAUCAGGAAAGAAACAUCAUAGCUUGAACAUGAACCCAACAAGCUAAACAUAUUGUUUGCAAAUGAUUUUGGAUUCAGGAGUCAAUAUUUUUCUAAUCAAGGACAAGUCGAUCAAGCUGCUGUAAUUCCUAACAUGGACAAUGUGCAACAAGAGAACUUCGUGCCUAGGUACUGAGUGACUUCUAGCUGUUGUGUUUUAACACCAUUAACUUUUACUGCUUAAGAGAGACUACCAAUUAUGGAAAGGUUUUAUAAUAUGAUCACUUCAUUUAUAUAUAGGUCAUAGAUAACCUCCAAGUCCGAGGAUUGCGAAAUCAAACUGCUAGGCCAAAUGCCUCAAAUCCUGGCCUUGGAUUGCAAGAUCAAACUGCUAGGCCAAAUGCCUCAAAUCCUGGCCCUGACACCUCCCUGCAAAGUCAAAUUAGGGGUUUAAAUACUCAACAAGUAAGAAGUCUAACUGAAUUAUCGUAGUCUUUUUCCCCUCUAUGAUUGUGCAAUAAAAUACCUAUCAAUUUUAAUAGCAAAAUAAGGGUAACAACACUGAAGUAGUUUCUUAUCCAUCCGGAUAUGGUGUAACUUGAUUCGUUAAUUUUUAUUCCAUAUUUUGACUGAUUUUUAUUCUAUACUUUGACUUCUUUUUUCUCUGUAGGUCGAAAUGGUUGGAUCAAAUGAUCCGUUUUGGAAUUAUAUUGAAAAAAAGUCUGAUGGUAGCAUGGAGUGUAAGUUUUGUCAACAUACAUGGGCCAAUAAAACUUCCAUUUCAAGGUUCAAAUGGCAUUUAUCAGGAGAGGAACGACAUGGUGUUGCCAUUUGUCGUGAGGUGACUAAAGAAGUUCAAGAAGCAGCCUUUCUAGCUAUGUGUUGUGGCAACAAAAGACAUAAAAUCACAGCAAGUUCAAUCAAUGUUAAUGAUUGUGGAAUUUCAACAAUGGUAGGAGGUAUUGGAAGGGUACAAAGAGAAGUUCAGGUUGUAGAACCCGGGGUAGGGGAAGAGAGGAUUUCUUCUCAUGCAAUAGCAGGAAACGACGUAGUAAGCAUGACCGGAAUGUGAGCACAAGAAGAUAGAGUUUUCGAAGGGACACUCGAGAGCAGACUGAGGACAGAACCAGUGGAUCGAGCGUUGGAACAAAGCAAUGCAGUGCUGGAAGGAUACAAGUGGGAGUUCAGGGCAUGGAACAAGGUCCCGGAGAAGAGAGAAUUCAGUCGCAUUUACAAGCGGAAAAUGGCAUGGAAAACACUGGUGAAGGAUCUUUUCGGCAUGAUGCAUUUGCGACUAUACCAGGAACAGAGCAAGUGCAGCUUCUGGAGCCUCGAGGAGAUUCAUCCCAAUUUUGUCUUGACACUGGAAGAUGUUAUGAUCAACCUUGUGCUCCAUCAGUAAACGAUGAUGUAACUAGGCAUGAUGCACUGGACAUGGUUAGAGUGAGGACAGAACCAGUGGAGGAGGAGGAUGCGGAGAAUAAUGGAAGAUCAGUAGUCCAGGCUGGCGCAGGAGCUAGAUCUUCUGAAAGUCUGAAAUACAACAAGACUAGAGGAGUUCCAUUACCUACUAGCUCUAUAAAGCCAGUGGGCCAAGCAUUUAAAGAAAAUACGAAGGUGCUAUGGUCUUUGAUAAUGGACGGUAAAGUCCCAAUCAUUGGCAUUUAUGGGAUGGGGGGAGUUGGUAAAACAACAAUACUGCAACAUAUCCAUAAUGAACUUCUACAAAAACCAGAUAUUUGUGAUAAUGUUUGGUGGGUGACUGUGUCUCAAGAUUUCAGCAUUAAUAGAUUGCAAAAUCUUAUUGCCAAACGUCUUGAUCUAAACCUUUCAAGCGAAGAUGAUGAUCUACUUGGAGCUGCCGAACUGUCAGAAGAACUAAGGAAGAAACAAAAAUGGAUUCUCAUUCUAGAUGAUUUGUGGAACAAUUUUGAGCUACACAAAGUGGACAUUCCUGAGAAGUUGGAAGGAUGCAAGCUGAUUAUGACAACUCGAUCAGAAACGGUUUGUCAUCGGAUGGUUUGCCAGCACAAAAUCAAAGUGAAGCCACUUUCUAAUGGAGAAGCAUGGACUUUGUUCAUGAAGAAGCUUCGACGUGAUGUAGCACUUUCACCAGAAGUGGAAGGAAUUGCGAAAGUUGUUGCAAGGGAAUGUGCUGGUUUGCCAUUGAGAAUUAUUACAGUGAUAGGAAGCUUGAGGGGAGUGGAUGACCUACAUGAAUGGAGAAAUACAUUGAACAAAUUGAGAGAAUCAGAAUUUAGGGACAAGGAAGUAUUCAAGUUAUUGAGGUUUAGUUAUGAUCGGUUAGGUGAUUUAGCACUACAACAAUGUCUCUUGUAUUGUGCAUUAUUUCCUGAAGAUCAUAGGAUUCAGAGGGAGAGGUUGAUAGGUUAUUUGAUCGAUGAAGGGAUAAUUAAAGUAAAGAGGAGCAGGGGAGAUGCAUUUGACGAGGGUCACACGAUGCUUAAUAGACUUGAAAAUGUCUGCCUAUUGAAAAAUGCUAAAAUGAUGCAUGUUGCUUGUAGAUUUGUCAAGAUGCAUGACUUGAUUAGGGACAUGGCCAUCCAUAUACUGCUAGAGAGCCCUCAAUACAUGGUUAAAGCAGGUGCGCAAUUAAAAGAGUUGCCAGAUGCAGAGGAGUGGACGAAGAAUCUGACGAUAGUUUCACUAAUGCAAAAUAGAUUUAAAGAAAUUCCUUCCAGCCAUUCACCUAGGUGUCCCUAUCUAUCAACUCUAUUGCUAUAUCAAAAUCAUGGGUUGGGAUUUAUUGCGGAUUCAUUUUUCAAGCAAUUGCAUGGGCUCAAGGUCCUCGAUCUGUCUUGCACAGGUAUUGAAAAUUUGCCGGAUUCUGUGUCUGAUUUAGUGAGUCUCACUGCAUUAUUGCUCAAUGAUUGUAAGAAAUUAAGACAUGUUCCAUCAUUAAAGAAGCUCAGGGCACUGAAGAGGUUGGAUCUCUUUCAAACUUUUCUUGAUUGGAUGCCGCAUGGAAUGGAAUGCCUAACCAACCUGAGGUAUCUUAGAAUGAAUGGAUGUGGUGAAAAGGAGUUUUCUAGUGGGAUAUUACCAAAACUCUCUCACCUGCAAGUCUUUGGACUAGAGGAAACGUUAAUUGAUCGAAGAUAUGCUCCGAUAACAGUUAAAGGAAAGGAAGUAGGAUCCUUGAGAAAUUUGGAAACUUUGGAAUGCCAUUUCGAAGGUUUCUUUGACUUCAUGGAGUAUCUCAGAUCUCGGGAUGGGAUCCAAUCAUUAAGCACAUAUAAAAUUUUAGUAGGAAUGGUGGAUUAUUGGGCAGACAUUGAUGAUUUUCCAAGUAAAACAGUUAGGUUGGGUAAUUUGAGUAUCAACAAAGAUGGAGAUUUUCAGGUCAAGUUCUUAAAUGACAUUCAAGGACUGGAUUGUGAACGCAUCGAUGCAAGAAGUUUAUGUGAUGUUUUGUCAUUAGAGAAUGCAACUGAACUGGAGGAAAUCAUCAUUGAGGAUUGCAAUAGCAUGGAGAGCUUGGUUUCAUCUUCUUGGUUCAGCUCUGCUCCACCACCAUUGCCAUCAUAUAAGGGUAUGUUUUCUGGUCUUAAAGUGUUUUAUUUUAGUAGAUGUAACAGUAUGAAGAAGCUGUUCCCACUUGUGUUGCUGCCAAAGCUCGUAAACCUGGAAAGCAUUGGAGUUAGUGAGUGUGAGAAAAUGGAGGAGAUAAUAGGAACAACAGAUGAAGAAGAUGAAGAAAGUAGCACCUCCAAUCCCAUCACGGAAUUAACACUCCCAAAGUUAAGAACUCUGGAAGUGCGUGCUUUACCAGAACUGAAAAGCAUUUGCAGUGCAAAAUUGAUUUGCAUUUCUCUUGAACAUAUUAGUGUAACGCGUUGUGAGAAGCUGAAGAGGAUGCCAAUUUGUCUUCCGUUGCUUGAACAUAUUGUUAAUCCUUCCGUUGUAAGAAUACUAAUUGAUUGUAAGCUUAAAUUUGCUCAUAUUCAAUAAUAUAUCAUUCUUUCAAUCAUUUUUGUUAAAAAUCAUGUGCAAAACAUAAUUAUUUUCGAUAUGAAUGAUGAAAAUAAUCCUUUAAAUCAACAAGGAUAUUCUUAUUAAUUUAUAUUGAAAUAGUCAUUCGUCCCUUUGUACCAUUUUUUUUAACUCGAUAGACAAAUAAUUAUAAUUUGAAGUUUGAUUAAUAUUAUAUUUUUAUCCUAUUGAGUUUCUCCAAGAUGAAAAUCCAAAAAAAAAAAAAAUACUAUAUUGAUUUAUCAUUAAAGUAACCUAAUAAAAUAAUAGAUCUAUUCACUAGUAUAAAUCAUCUAAAAUCAUUAACUAGCAAUAAAUUAUUUUUUCAAUAUAUAAUACAGAUUAAAAAGAAUAAAGAGAGAGAGAGAAGACACUUUUAUAAGGAUAUAUUUAGAAUAAAAUUUCAUACCUCUAUCUAUUCUAUUUUCCUCGUACAAAAAUUCAUUCUAUUUUUCUAUAUUUCUCAGGAUUUUUUAAUCUAUAUUUUUAAGUUUUUUCUGUUUUUAUAAACAACAUAUAUAAACAAAAACUAGAAGGAUUGGUUAAUCAAUUCCUCAAGAUUUUUUAAUUUGUAUUUUAAAGUUUUUUCUGUCUUUAUGAACAACAUAAAAAAUAAACUAAAAGAAUUGGUUAAUCCAAAGACGGGUGUUUCUAAAGGUUGUGUUUUUUUUCAUUUGAUGUUAAUAUCAUAGAAAUUGUGAAGGGUGCAAAAGCUAAAUUGUGAAGGGUGCAAAAACUGCAUAUUGCAUCUGGUUGUGAAGGGUGCAAAAACUGCAUAUUGGCGGCAACAAGUGCCUGGUGGUUUUGUCUGAGUAAAAGGGAUAGAUGCUAAGUUAAGAGUUCAAGGAAGAGAGACAAAAGGUGGAAGGGACAAUUGUGUCGAUUGUUGGUUACAUUAUUGUUAAUAAAAAUGUAAGAAUUUAGGAGCAUGAGAGAACAUUUUCACAAUGAAGAUUAAUUCAUCUCCACAGCAGAAUACAGGAAAAAAAAAAUUAAAUCAAUAAAAGUAAGGUAUUUCAUCUCUUCGAACAUUCUUGAAUUCUGGUCAAUUCAAAUCACAACAAACAUCGUAAACAAUGUCAAAAGUAUUCUUCUACCUCAGUGAAUUUCAGUACAACUACUGCACACAAGAUGCUUAAUUCAUCAAAUGCUAAUUCCUGUCUAUCAACUCGGUUUGGGAAAAUAACUGAAAAACUCUGUUAAAUGAGUUCCUGUGGUUUUGAUGAGUCUAUGAAAGUGCAUUCUAUCAUUGGAAUAAAAUGCUAAAAUGUGAAUAAAAAUAAUAGAAAUUAAACAGACAAGUCAAGGCCCAGGAGUCGUGAAAUUCACUUUGAACCAGCCUCCACACACUUGAGUAUCUUAAUCAUAACUUUCCACUCACAUAUCGGAUUGCUGUGAUUCUUGACGCGUUGGAAAGGUAUCUUGAAGGGCUACAAAUUAGCCUCUAAUGAGGAUUUCAAAAAAGGAACUCCUAAAGCAUGUACGUGGCUGCCAAAAAAGUCCUAAAAUCUAGGCAAUUUGUUUCUGACACAACGGGGAUCAUGGAGACGUGAUUUUAGGGAUUUAUGUAGUUUAUGGAUUCACUCAUGUUUCUUCCAUUAAAUGGAUUAAAUCUUUGAUUAUAUUUGGAUCAUUUAUUUAUCUGUAUUGAUUUGAUUUCUUUACUAUAAUAUUGCUCUUAGUAUAUUGUGGUAAUUAAUUUAAUAUAAAAAAUCUAAAUUAGUAGUCUUUGAGGUUACUUAAAUUAAAUAUUGGUGCCUAGCUUUUAUUUAUUUAUUCAUUUAUUUCUAAAUACUGACCUUAAAAAAUUAUUGAAUUUGUAAUUCAACCAAAUAAAAUAUUACCAAUCUAGUUCAUAUCUAGCCAGAUUAAUAAAAAAGGAUAAAAUGAUAUUUACUGUACAAAGUGAUUGUUGGCAAUCAAUUCCUGGAUCAAGAAGAUAAGGUCCAGCCAUGGAGUAUAUACUUGGAUUGAAAAAUAAAAACUAAUAAUCUACAGAAUGGGUUCAUGUUAACUGAGGAUGAGGUCUGAUGCACCUAGCUACCGACUUUAAUAUUUUCAUUUAAGGAAUUGCAGCGUUGUGUCCCGAGGGAGGCCAACAGGCAAAUACUAAUAUCAUUUUUUUAUUUUUUAUUUUUUAUUGUAAAUUUAUUUUUGAAAAAAAAUUAAAUUUUUUAUUUUAAAUUAUUUUUUUAAAUAUUUUCAAAUUAUUUUAAUAUACUGAUAUUGAAAAUAAAUUUUAAAAAAACAAAAAUAUUAUUUUUAAUAUAUUUUUAAAUAAAAAAUAUUUUAAUAAUCAACCGUGAUCUUAAUUUCAAACUGUCAGUGCCCUAUACCAAACUAUAUUAUCAACAAGAUUUUCCUCAGAUGAAUUAAAGCAUUCUGCAUUUGACACAACUUGAAAACAUGUUUCUUCUUAAAUUAUUAUACCUGUGUUUUUUAAAAUCUAAAUAUUUGAGAAUGUGGCCGCUGAAAGCUUACCUGAUCGUUAAAUUCAGGACCCAUAAAAAUUAAUCGAGAUGCACGUACGUAAGCUGGCCCGGACACCUCACGUGAAUAAAAAAAACAAUGCAUCAAUUAAUUAUUAUUUGAGCUGAUUAUUUUAUUUUUAAUUUUAUUUUUAUAGGGAUUUAAGGCUGAUAAUUUGUUUUAAUUAACUUAUUGUGAAGUUCUCAAGGUUAAAAAAAAAAUAUUUGAUUUGAUAAAAUUUUGUUCAGUCUAAUUCAUUAAAAAUAAUUGAAACUUUGAACAUCAAAUAUGAUACUGAAAUCAAAAGGUAGCCUGGUGUGUUUUUCAAAAUUCUGUUUCUAGAGUUUUUGCAUUUUUUAUUUUUAAUUUUGAUUUAAAAUUUUAUUUUAUUCACUUUUUAGUUUAUAAAUUUGAGAUUAAAAAAAAUCACUAAAAACUCGGAAAAAAAUAGAAAAUUAUUGGCCGACAAUUUUGGCAACAAGAAAACACGAUCAUCUUUGUAUUAAUGAAAAACUAGUGUGUAGAUUGGAUAGCAAAUCAUACUUUAUAGGUCGAGGGCUAAAAAUAUAAAUUUGUAAAAGGGUGUUCGAAAAAAAAUAAUUUCCAUGGGUAUGGAAAAGUUCAAUAAGUCCUGGUUGAAGAGGCUUAUAUACGAAACGCCUCAAAAUAAUCCCUGGAGCAGGAGAUUCAAUUAACCGAGAUUCAGGAGAUGAAAUUGCACCUCAACCGUCAAUGGGUUUAGCCAGGGCAUUUAUAACACGACCCAAAUACGCCUCACUCACUGGUAUCUGAGCAAUUUUUCCUGUUGCUUUUACAAAACUUCUCUCUUGUAUCAUCAAGCCGUCACCCAUUAAUACAACACCAACAUUAUUUGAUUCCAAAUUAAGAGCAAUGCCUAUCGUACCCUCUUCAAAUUCUACCAAAUCACCUGCCACAAUGCCGUCACCCACAUGAAGUACAGUCCCAGUAUUUACAAUCUUUACUUCCCUAUUAUAUUGCUCAAUGCUUUCACGGAUAAUACUACUAAUCUCGUCGGCUCGAAUGAUUACCAUGAGUAUUUCUUAUUUUUUUUUUUUGGAAAAAAAAAUAAUGCCUACAGUAGAAGGUCUGAUUGGUGGAAUAACUAUCAUAGAAUAAGAUAAUAUUUGAUGUUGCGACAAUAAUAAUUUUUAAAAAUAUUUUUUAUUUAAAAAUAUAUUAAAAUAAUAAUUUUUUAUUUUUUAAAAUUUAUUUUUAAUAUUAACACAUUAAAAAAUUUAAAAUUAUUUAAAAAAUUAAUUUAAAACAAAAAAAUAUUAACAUACUGUGACAUUAUUGUUAUUUUUUUCGUGGUGUUGUUUGUUCUAGGUAGGGCCGGAAAGGUCACGGAAUGGAGAGUUGCUGCUAACCAUUAACCCAUGACAUGGCUCAAAUGAGUGAGACUAAUUAAAAGUCUGUAAAAAUGUAUCAAGUGACUGUUUGCAAUUAAUAUUUUUGAAUUGUUUUUGGUAUAGAAGUUCUUUUUUAACCUACUCUUAAGGUAAAAUACUUCUCGUCUACUUAAUAAUUCUGUCAUAACUAGCCUCACUCAACCCACAAUCCGACUUGAUGGUGAACUUCUGUGUCACAGCCGACAAUUUACUAUAAUUAAUGCAACCAUUCCAUAAUGGUUCAUCGGAAUCUUUCAAUAGAUAAAAAAACCUGGCCGCAUCUGCAUUAAGUUCUUCUUCUACAAUUGGACAUUGACUAACAUUACCUUAAUUCAUUCUCAUUGCAUCUAUAACCAUAAUCUUGCAAGGAUUACUGUUGUCAUUUACAACUCCAUGCACGUUGCUAGCACUAGAAGUUGACCCAACCAUUCUUUUUAUCAUGCUCUCAUUACGAACAAAUAAUUCUUUGUGUAACCAAUACAAGUAAUCCUCCAUAAACCGGCCACUUGUGUGGAAGAUGCAUCGUUACAACAUCUGGAUGCAUAUACUUUUUAUUUUUACACUUUCUGCGUGGACACCUAAUACUGCCCCCACUAAAAUUUCUCAGAAUAGAUGUUGCAAAAUUAAUAAAACCCUGAACCCCAUUACAAUAAUCCAUCGAUGAACGACCAUCCAUGACCUCUAUAAAAUAAUGAUGACAACAUGUAUUGAUUAAUUAUGUUAAGUAAAUAAAUUUAUAAAAAUAUUGGUUUAACUCGAGAUUAUCCAACAAACUAAUUAAAACUUAUCUUAAAUUUUAAUUAUCAAUUAUCAACGUCCAUACAAAUUUAUACACAUAAAUUUACAUAAAUUACAACUCCGCAAUAGCGUUGAUAAAAAUUAAAACGGAUACAUUAAACAAGCUAUUAUUUAUUUAUUACAACAUAUCUAAUACGGUAAUUCGACAUAAAUUUCAACAAUUUAUAAACAAAUAUAAUUUUACAAAAUCUAAAACAAAACAUAACAAGUACAAAAUUAUACAUUCAUACUACAAGUUUGUUUGAGAAAAAAUUAAAACUUGUACUUACCCUAACAAAAUACAUAUACUAAAAAAAAUUAAAUAAUAAUAAAAUUGACAUUUUAAUAUUAAAAAUAAAAAAUAUAGAUUUACUUAUAAAAAAUAACAAAACCACAAUAAAUCAGAACACGGAUAUUGUGACUACAAAAAAUAAAGAAGAAUUAUUUGUGUUGAGAAGUGAGGGAUGUUUUGGGGGUGGUUAUUUGCAGCUUGGGAGGUGAGAGUUUGUUUAGAUGCAUGUAUGUGGAAGAAGAAGGAGAAAUAGGGGAGGGGAGGUUCGACAACUUGGUGAUAUAUUAACUUUUACCGAUGGAAUCACCGACGAAAAUAUUUUAUCGAUGAUUCCAUCAGUGAUUCUGACGGUAAAGGGGUCAUGUCACUGUACGGAGAUCCUGGUUUGAAUCCCUCGGUAAUUUCGUCGGUAAAAUCACUCGCAAAAUCUUCCACGUCAAUGACCUGCUUUUUUUUCUUUCAAAAUUCUAUAUAUUUCGUUCGUAAUUCUAUCGGUAUAUACCGACAAACGUAUUCCGUCAGUAUAUACCAACGGGUUUACUGAUUGAUUUACAUCCGUCGGUAAUUAUUACCGCAAAUUACCGAUAGAAAAAUAUUGUCGAUAAUUCCGUUGGUUUUAGUCGAAUUUCUAGUUGUGAUAUUGAUUUGGUGAAAUUUGAUCGAUUCAAUCAAACCAAUCUAGUUCAUAUCUAACCAUAUUAAUAAAAAAAAGAAUGAAAUAAUAUUAUUUUAAUAAAAAUAAUUAUUCUGAAUUAACUUAAUAAAUGACUUAUAAGUUAUUAAAUAUCUGGUGCUAUAUUAAAAAAUUAACUUAAUAAAUGACUCAUAAGUUAUUGGCAAAAUACAGGUAUAAUCGGAGUACACCAUGUUGUCAAAAAGACACAAGUCUUGAAUUUUACUUUUAUUCUUGUUUUUUUUUAAAAAAUUGGAAAGGCAGGUAUACUAUCAAUAUUUUUUUUUUUUUACUUUGUAUGCUUUCCUCUGUUGCUAAUAUCCACCUCAGCAUGUACCAUCUGGUUAUAAACACCUUGGGUAAAUCAAGAUAUAAUAGAAAAACAUUCACUGUAGUUUGUCUCACAAAAAUUUCAUGGUUUUUGUCCUUUAUAACUUGAUAGAUACGAGGCAAGGAGUUAGGAGGUAGUAGCUUUUAUUUAUUUAUUCAUUUAUUUCUAACUACUGACCUUAAAAAAAUAUUGAAUUUGUAAUUCAACCAAAUAAAAUAUUGAUUUGGUGAAAUUUGAAUGAUUCAAUCAAACCAAUCUAGUUCAUAUCUGGCCAGAUUAAUAAUAAUAAAAAAUGAUAUUGACUGACUAGAUUAUUUGGUAUAACAGCAGUGCACCAUGCUGCCCAAAAGACACAGUCUUAAUUUUAUUUUUCCCUUUUUUUUUUGAAAACCGGGAAGGCAGGUAUACUAUGAUUGACUUCGGCAGUCGGUAGGAAUUAUUUUUUAAAGCAUUUUUUUUCAUGUGUAAAUAUAUUAAAUAAUUUUUUUAUUUUUUAAAUUUAUUUUAAUAUUAAUGUUUCAAAAUAAUUCAAAAAUAUUAAAAAAAUUAAUUUAAAAUAAAAAAAAAUCAAGUUUUUUUUAAAAACAUGAUUCCACUGUGAAAUUAUUAUUAUUUUUGCCGGGGAGUUGGUUGUUCUACGUAGGGUCGGAAAGGUCACGGAAUGAAGAGUUGCUGGUAACCAUUAAUCCAUGACAUGGCUUAAAUGAGUAAGGCUAAUUAAAAGUAUGUAAAACUGUAUCAAGUGACUAUUUGUAAUUAUUAUUUUUGAAUUGUUUUUACGUGGUAAUAUAAAAAAAAUUAAAAAAAUUAUUAUUGAGCUGACCUUACUAAUAAAUAGUAUUAUUUAAGGGAGCUAGCGGCUGUAACGUUCUCUUCCACAUCUCAUCUCAUUAUACAAUUCCCUAUUUUCCUUUCCCCAUCUCAUGAUCUGUGAUUUCUCUUCUUCUUUUUUUCUAAGCCAUAUAUUUUUCUAAGCCAUAUAUUCUUCUCUGAUCUGUGAUUUCUCUUCUUCUUUUUUUGGCUGAAUACUGGUCAAGCGAACCAGCACAUCUUGAAUCCAGGUUAAUUAUUUGUACUUCAUCUUGUUGGUGUUUUUGUUUUUAUAUUUGUAACUAUGGUUUGAAUCUUUAAAGGAAUCCAUGAUAAAUAAAUUGAUCUUUUUCUCGGAUUUUAUAAUCCAUGCCUUGUGGAGAGUUCAUACUAAAUCAAUACUGAAUUCAUUGUUUUCGUCUUUUCAAGAUUCUUUGCUGUUUUUAACUCCUUAUUUUAGAUUCACCCUUUUCUUUUCCAAUUAAUGGGACUGCCAUUCAUUUUUAUUCAAUAUUUUUCAACUUUUUUUUUUCUUACAAUGAUUCAAUGAAUUAACUUGAUCAAUAAUUACCUGAAUCUUUUUGAACAAAACAAUAUCCUAUUAUUUUUGUGUCUGUUUUAUAAUGUGUAACUAAGGGUUAAAAUAGAGGAAAUUGAUUUUUGAAAUUAACAAAAAUAAUCUUGCUUUCGUUUUGCUCUUCUACUUUCCUUCCCUUGCUUUCUUCAACAGUUAUCCUGCGUCUUUCUAUCUAUCAUUCUAGAGUUUUAGGAUCUCGUGUCAUAUAAAGAAUUUGAGUAUGAUAAUUUAGCUACAAAGACAAAGGAUUAAAUCAUUAACAACAACAUUUAUAUUUCAUAUUUUUCAUCCGAAUUUCUUUAACAAACAAGAAAGUCAUUCAUAUAUAUAUAUAUAUAUAUAUAUAGAUAGAUAGAUAGAUAGAUAUUCUUUUCUGAUCUGUGCUUUAUGUUCUUUUUAGACCUCAGUUUUUUAUGUCUUUUCUGAUCUUUUCUGGUCAGAUGGAAGGGUUCCAACCAUCUUUUAUGGAGGAGGUUGACAACAUGACAUGGGAUCAGCUGGGUUUUCAAUCAGAAGAAGAUACAUUCAAUAUGUCUGAGCUUCUCUCGUACGUCAUUCUUGAGCAUAUUUUAUCGGAAGAUGAUUGCUUGCAAUUUAGUUAUUCUUCAGUUUAUCCUAUCAUUCCCAAAAAAACAAUAUAAUGUCGUCACUGUCCAUGGAAGCAGGCUGCCACCGGAGGUUCCAGUCAACCAAAGCUCCAUAUCAUGCAAUGAUCAAGGUGGACAGAACAAUGUGAUCAACGAUAGUAUUCAACAAACAACUCCGUUUCCAACUUCAUUUCCUGAAACAGUGGUGAGUACUCCAAUUUGCUACAAUGCCCAUUGAAUUAGCAAGUGUUUGUAUUAUACAAAAAGUGUUUGCAUUUUUGUUUUUAAUUUCAUUUGAUAAUUUAUUUCAAUAAACUUGUUAUGGAGCUCUUGUGGUCUAAGAAGAAGAAACAAUUCAAUGUAGAGUUGAUGUUUGACUUAACAAGAUUUUGUUCAAUUUAAUUGAUUAAAAAUAAGUGAAAUUUUGACCGUCAAAUUUGAUAUUAAAAUUUUGAAGAUAAAUAUUGAAGACUGAAUUUGAUAUUAAAACUAAAAAUAAGUAGAAAGUUUUUACAAAGGUAAAUGUUAUGAAAAGAUCGAAAUUGCUAUCCAACUGGUGUGCAGAUUGGAUAGCAAAUCAAGCUAUGUUGAAGUCUUCUACUGCAGUGAAGCUCCCUCUGGUUGCUUGAAGCUAAUGCCUGAUUGUUGCGUUCCUGGGUUUUGAUAAGUGUAUGAAAGUCUAUUUUAUUGUUUUUGUGUUUUAAAAAUAUUUUUUAAAAAUUAAUUUUUUAUUUUAAAUUUAUUCUAACUCUUUUGUUUUAUCAUUCUCAAAGUCCAAACAACAACGGUACUGUCAAGAUUGUUAUGCUUAUGCCCGCAAUCGAAACAUAAUUUGUUUUUGUACUCAGAGUUAUGUUUAUUAAAAAAUCUGGUUAUUUUAAAAAAUAUAUUAAAUUAAUGUUCCAAAGUUUAGUAGUUAAGAAAUGUAUUCCAAAGUUUAGUUUACUGGUUGACUCACAUAUUAACUGAAUAACCUGAGUAAAAAAAGAAAACCACAUCAUAUUAUGAUGGUGUUUAUUAAAAAAACUAAAAUAACAAUUUUUUUUUAAUAUUAUCUUCUUAAAUAUUUUUAUUUUAAAAUUUUUUCACAUAAUUGUAGAUAAAAAAAAAAUUGUUUUAAUUUAGCAACGAUAGAGCAUCCACAAGAAAGAUAUUAUACGGUUAUUAAUUUUCAUUAAAAGAAAAGCUAAGAGACUUGGGAGAACUACUAUAUAUCCACACCUAUUUCAUAAAUUACAAUAGUACGUAAUUCAAGGUGUUUUGCCUUUUUUGUUUUGUUUUUUUAAAAUUUCUUUUUGUUUAUUUUAUAAUAGGCUGGUUAUAAUUCAGCUUUAAUUUAUUAAUUUUUAUUCUAUUUUUUUAUAAGAUUAACGUAAUUUAUAGGUUUGUUAAAAUAACUUAAAUUAUAGUUUUCAGAUUUGGUGGGAUAUUUUUUUGUUUAUUAAUUAAAAGAAAAACUAAAAGGUGUAAGAGAAUCACUAUUUACCCACACUCAUUUCAUUAUGGAUUACAAUAGUAAUCUAUAGUGUUUUGUCUUUUCUGUUUUUUUUCCUUUCCUUUCCUUUUUUUUUAUCAUUUUUAAAAAUAAGUUUUUGUCUAUUUCAUAUUUGGGCCGAAUUAGCAUAUAUAUAUAUAUAUUGGGUUAGUGUUUAAUUUUACAAGUAUAAGUAUCUAUUUUUGUUAUCAUAUUAUUAAAAAAAAAUAAUUUUUUAAAAAAGUAUAAUCCUAGUUAAAUCCAUAACCUUGUUCAUGGGUUUGAUGUGCUAGCCCAAGUUACCUGAUUCACGAGUUUGACAGGUUUAUCAAUUGAUCGAAUAUGUUUUUUUUUUUGUUUCUGGUCUUUUAAUUUUUUUAAUUGAUUUUUUUUUUAAUUUUGUCCUUCAAUAUUAGAUUGGUUUGGAAAUAGACUAAAUGAUUUAUUUUUAUUUGCUUUCUAUAGGGUUAUCAAAAUCUUAAAUAAAUAUUUAUUUUAGGGAUGAUACUCAAUUUUAUGAGCAUUUAUUUUUAUCAUAUAAUUAAAUUAAAAAAAACUUAAAAAAAUUACUAAACCCAAUAAAAUCCAUGACCCAAGUCGCGAGGGACCGGGAUCGAUCAAAUUUGUCAUUGUUUCAAUAUUUUUUUUAAAAAAAAAAAGUUGUUGUCUAGAAGUUUUUUUAAAAAAACUAAGCCAUGCUUUACUAGUUUUCUAAGUUGUAUUUAGAUAUUAAUUGAUUUAAAUUGAGUUAAUUUCCAUACAAUUUAAUUAAAAACUUAAAUUAAAUAAAAAAUUAGAUUAAAAGAUUUUAAUAUCAACUCCCCUAACCAGGUUUAAUAAUAUCGCCAACAAACUUUCUUCACUCUUAACAUUUUAUUUUUAUAUUUUAAAAAAAUUAAUCCCCUAAAAAAAACUAUGACAUAUUAUUGAGUGUAGGUUUUGUUUAUUAAGAGUAAGGAUUGAGUCUUUGACUGCAUGUAAUGGCAUCGACUGAAAACCUUUAAUCACAUGCUAUUAAUCACAUAUUUAAUCUGUUAUUGUUAGAGCACAUGCUUUUCAAAAACUUUGAAUUUUUUCUUUUUAAAUUAUUAUUUUUUUAUUAAAAAUAAAUUUUAAAAAAUAAAAAAAUUAUUAUUUUAAUUAUUUUAAAUAAAAAAUAUUUUAAAAAGAAAAGUAUAUUAUUGUUUCUCAUAUUCAUGUGUUUACAUUUUCUAGGCAUCUUCUUCUAAGCUUCAUAAUUGGGUAGGUAAAGUAGUGUUUUCAACUCCUUAUUUUAGAUUCACCCUUUUCUUUUCCAAUUAAUGGGACUGCCAUUCAUUUUUAUUCAGUAUUUUUCAACUUUUUUUUUCUUCUUACAAUGAUUCAAUGAAGUAACUUGAUCGGUAAUUACCUUACAUUAAACAAAAUAAGAAUAAUUAAAAUAUCAAAUGUGUUCAUUAAAGUAGCAGGAGAAAUCGCUAUAUAGCCAUCCGAAAAGGAAAAGUUAAAGAUUGCAGGUUUGCUGCUCAAUUCAACUAAAUAUUUUGAAGUUAGAACUCGUUUGUUUUUUUUGUUUUAAAAAUAUUUUUUAAAAAAUAAAUUUUUUUAUUUGUUUUAAAUUAAAAAUUUUUCUAUUUUUAAAUUAUUUUGAUGUGUUGAUCUCAAAAAUAAUUUUAAAAAAUUAAAAAAAUAUAUAUCAUUUUAAUAUAUUUUCAAAUAAAAAAUACUUUAAAAAACAAUUAUUAUUACAUUCUCAUAAUUUUCGCUUUAAGAGUAAACUUCACUUUUGCUCCU
This 57068-nucleotide long non-coding RNA is filed under the name Populus trichocarpa (black cottonwood). Its description in RNAcentral is "long non-coding RNA (PTRI_LNC004359)". Lineage: Eukaryota; Viridiplantae; Streptophyta; Magnoliopsida; Malpighiales; Salicaceae. The record is from RNAcentral.